Molecule: long non-coding RNA, 84699 nt
Filed under: Theobroma cacao (cacao)
Lineage: Eukaryota; Viridiplantae; Streptophyta; Magnoliopsida; Malvales; Malvaceae
Description: long non-coding RNA (TCAC_LNC004313)
Source: RNAcentral
CCCGUAAGCAGGUUCCCACCUAAAGAAAGCCCUUGCAAAUUAGGAAAUCUAUUACACAGAUCUGACGGGAGAUUACCACUGAGAAGAUUAACGGAGAGGUCAAUGAGUUGCAGCGAAGAAGUGUUGACUGGAAUGGACGGUAUCGAAUCAGAGAGUUUGUUGUUGCUUAGAUCAAGUUCUUGCAAUGAAGAUAGGUUGAAAAUUGAGGGAGGUAUGGAACCUGAAAUCUGAUUAAAGGAGAGGUCAAUGAGUUGCAGCGAAGAAGUGUUGACUGGAAUGGAGGGUAUCGAAUCAGAGAGUUUGUUGUUGCUUAGAUCAAGUACUUGCAAUGAAGAUAGGUUGAAAAUUGAGGGAGGUACGGAACCUGAAAUCUGAUUAUAAUCUAAGACCAAUAUCUCUAACUUGGGUAAAAAGCACAGAGAUGAUGGGAGUACACCUGUGAAGUUAUUACCAUACAGAAACAAGUUUUGAAGUUGAGUAAAGGAACCGAACCAUGACGGAAUUUCUCCAUUGAGGUUGUUGUUACCGAAAUUUAUACUGUUCAACCGGUGCAAAUUCGCCAAUUGGUUGGGUAAUGAGCCAUGAAAACUAUUGUUUCUCAUGUUCAGCCUGGAGAGGAAAGACAGAUUUCCCAAGUGAGGUGGGAUGGUGCCGACUAGACCCAUACCAAAAAGAUUUAGAGCUGUGACCCUGAGAUGCUUGGCUCCGCAAGUGACACCGAUCCAAUUGCAUACCGAUGUAGCAGUCGACCAAUUGGUCUCCAAAAGAUUUUGAGGGUCAAAAGUUACAUGGGAUUUCAAUGCAAGAAGAGCCAAUUGGUCUGUGGUGAUAUUGGGUGAUUCUACAGACAAAGAAGUAACAAAGUUAUGAAACAGAAGCACAACAACAAGAGGGAGGAUAAAGCGAGCGUUUCUCAUGAUGAGAUUAUGUGGUUUGAGGAAUGGGGAAUGGAAUGGAAUUCUCAAGGCAACUGCAAUUGGUCACGUAUGAAUUCUUGGUUGCGAAGAAGCACUAUGAUGUUCUCCUAGUUUUAUUGUUAACCAAGUCUGCUUUUGAAAGUCAGUGAACUAAUUAAACCCAAACUGUAAAACACAUUUAACACAAAGCCUGCCAUAGUGCUCGUGGGUGAUUUUCCAGGCAAACAAACAAGAACGAAUAAAAUCUGUGUCCAACCUAUUGGUAGUGAAACUGACAGAAAAUAUAUCUUUGUAAUUCAUUCAAGUAGAUCUGCACAGUAGGGAGAUUAAUAUAAUCCCUUAAUAAUAUAUAAUAUAUGUAAUAUGACUUAAAUAAUGUUAUAAAUUUUGGAAUUUUAAAAUUGCAUCGCAAAUAUGUAAAAUAAUUAUUUUAAAUAAAAUUGAUCAAUCUCCAUAUCUUAUAUUUAUUCUUUGUAAGUAUAAAAAAGUUUUUUUUUUGGAAAAUUAUGUAUAAAAAAGUUUAAACGAGAAACAUUUAAAAAGAGUUAGGAUAAUGUUAUCUUCAUUGCUUUGAUAAUUAUAUCUGUCGCUGCAAUUGAAAUCAAAUCUUCCUUUGAACAAGUUGAAAAAACACGCUGUAAUAAAUUUGCAUUUAUUUAUUUUUUCAUCAACUUGUGUUGUUAAAAAUCCAUUGGCAUAGACUUUGACAGACUCAUACUUCAUGGGGAAAAUGGUGCGGUGUUUCUUUCUCACUUGUCUUCGUUCGAAAAGUCAGUCAAGUCAACUAACUAAAGCCAACCACUUUAACACAAAGCCAAUCAUAGCUCUUAGCUGAUUUUCUACUCAAACAGAAAUAAGUGAAGAAAUAUCGUAUGCAACUGUUUGAUAACGAAACUGACAUAAAAGGAAUCUUACUUCAUAAUUUGUCUAAGUUGAGAGAUUAAUAUAAGCCUCCAAUAAGAUAUAAAUAAAACCACUCGAGUAAUCCAAUGAAUUCAUUGUGUAGUCUUAAAAUUUCACCAUCGAUCUAUUAAGUCUGAAAGGACUAAUCAGUCCAUAUUUUAGAUAUUUUUUAUGUGUAUAAAAAGUUUAAAAAAAAAAGAUUAAAUAAGAACUAAGAUAAUCUUAUCUUGAUUGCUCUGCUUAUGGUUCUGUGGCCGCAAAUGCAAGCAAAUCUUCCUUUGAAAAUUCAAUAAGCUAAAGUCUAGAGCCAAAGGGAAAAAACUCACUACAAUAAAUUUGGUAUUUAAUUUUCUUAACUUGUGUUAUUAAAAAUAUUUUAAUUAGGAUAGAACUUUGCAAAUUACUUUGGCUGCUCUAUACAAUCUUUUAUUAGAAGUAUUUUGGACAAACAACAUGCAUAUAGAGUGACAAAGACUGCACUUUUGUAAAAGCUGUUAAUUAUAUAUGAAAAUGAAUUGCACCCAAAAAGUUUAAACAACUAAUACUAUAGACAUACAUACAUAAAAAUAUAAGGGUUCUUUUUUUAAAUAGGCCCUACGCAUAACGUGUUUUUGACAAUAAACUUCCUCAUAAUUUUAACUAUUUUUAGUCAAAAAAAUUAAAAUUUGAACAAAAUUACCCUUAAUAAAAUCGACCCAUUUAUUUGGCUCCACGUCUCAACCUGAAACCUAUUAAUGGGUCAAGUAUGUUUAGGUUUGCACCUCAAACUAAUUCAUAUUUUUUGAGCUUUCCUCACCAGACUAUUAAUCUCUAGAGUAUUCCUUACUAGAAAGAAAAACGUUUAAGCAUUUUGAGCAUUUUGGAAUAGUUUUUGAUACAUGAAAAAAACCUAUGAGCAUUUUAAGCAUUUUUAAACAUUUUGGAGUGUUUUUUGAUAUAUGAAGAAAAACUUUUGAACAUUUUGAGCAUUCAUAUUCGUUAAUUAUGUUGUUAAAUGGAAUAUGGUGUAUCGUUUGAAGUUGUUGAUCUUGUUAAAUGGAAUUUAGUAGUUUUGGUAUUUUUAAGAAUUACAUGACUAGUUUUUAAGCAUUGUGUGACUAACUUUGGAUAUUACGUAACUGACUUUGGGCAUUACGUGACUAAUUUUUUAUAAAGUAUUGCGUGACUAGUUUCUAACAAGGCAUUGCGUGACAAGUUAAUAGGCAUUGCAUGACUUGUUUCUGAUAAGGUAUUGCAUGACUAGUUGAUAGGUAUUGCGUGACUAGUUUUUGAUAAGGCAUUGCGUGACUAGUUUCUGAUAAGGCAUUGCGUGACUAGUUGGUAGGCAUUGCAUGACUUGUUAGUAAGGCAUUGCGUGACUUGUUAGUAAGGCAUUGCAUGACUUCUUAGUAAGGCAUUGCGUGACUAGUUAUUAAAGCAUUGUGUGACUUAGGUAUUACUUAAAAAUCAAUCACGCAAUGCCUAAAAACUAGUCACGCAAUGUCUAAAACUAUCGUAAUAUGCAAGUCCGGGAACCCGACCGCCAGACGCGAGUGAAAACUCACUAAAAAAUAGGAGUUACCACCAAUCUGUUUUGCUAGGUGUGAUUGGUCACCUAUUAACUCGAUUCUAAUCGGCAGAGUCUUAAUUAGAUUUAAGCCCACCAAAAGAACCUUAAACUAGUCUACGUUUUUUUCAGAUCUAGGCUCGGGAGUACGGUUACGCCCGGAGAAGGAUUAGCACUCCCGGAACGCCCAUUACAUGAACGGUACCAUUUUUGGAUUAUCUUAUUAGACUUUAAUUUUUAAGUUCAUUUUAUUUCCUUAGCUAUUAUUCACUUAUUUUAUCUCCUAUUUAACCUAAAAUGGAAUGCAAAUGUGAAGUAAGAUGAAAUGCAUGGUGUAAGAUAAAAAUGUCAAACGAAUAACCUUUUAUCGAGAAUAUUUUCUCGAAUCCACAUAUCAUAUUGGUGGGACUCGGGGUAUUCUCUCACCUAGGAAAUUAUUCGAGAAAUUCACCUUCGCAAUUUCGACGAAUAAAUCCCGUCACUGGGGUCAUCGUACGUUUUCUUUUAAAAUAAUAUUUUCGUGCAUAAUGAACCUAAUUCGGACAAAAGUCUUUUAUUAAGGAUGUUUCUCGAGCCCUCCCAUCAUACUGGUGGGAUCCGAAGACAUCUUUUCACCUAAGAAACUUUCCGAGCAAUACCCGCCUUUGCAAGAUCCUCGGAAGAUCCCAUCAUCGGGGCUUAAACUCGAAAAUAGAAAUAUUUAUAUGCAAUGAUAUGCAUGAUGCAAUAUAUAUGUAUGCUAUGCUAAUGCAAUUAUCUAUUUUUUUAUUUAUUAUUAUUUAAUUAUUAUUGUCAUUUUAUUUUUUAUUAUCACAUUUUCUAUUUUAUUUCUUAUCAUUAUUUUUUCAUACUUUACAUUUUUUAUUCUAUUGUUAUUUAUUUAUUAUUUUUAUUGAAUAAUUUUUGUAUAGUCAAAUUCUUUAUUUAUUAAAAUUUCGGGAUCCUGAAAUCGAGGUCCUCCCAUCGUACUGGUGGAGCCUUGAUUCGGAUUCCGAACCUAGGGAAUAUGGGCUCGAGAUUACGACUUCUCGUGUCCCGACCGAUCAUCCCAUCAUCGGUACAUUACACUCGUAAUCAAUAUCUUGAUGUUUUAUAUCAUUUAUAUUUGUUUAUUUAUUAGUUAUUUUAUUAUUAUUUUAUUAUAUAUAUAUAUUUUAUAUGGACCUCACUUUCCUAAUUUUAAAUAUUUUUAACAGGUACUUUCCUAUAUUUAAAUUUUCCUUAACUAAAUAUGCAAGUUUUCUUAUUUUUAUGUUAUAUUAUUUAUAUAUAUAUAUAUAUAUAUUCCUUUAUAUAUAUUGCUCCCUUUAUCUGAAAAAUUACCUCUUAAAAAUCUUAAAAAAAAACAUUAUAUUAAAGUACUCCAAUCCUAAUCCUAAAUAAUUGAAUAAUAAAUCCGAAAGCUAACAAAAUGAACAAACCCAAAUUAUUGCAGACCUUAAUAACAUGGCAAAGAGUUUACCUUUAUGGGCUCAAUACCCACUCAAUUUUGUCCACUUGCUUCUCUGCGGCCCAAAUCCUAUUCACAGAGAGCCCAGAUUGGGAGAUGGCCCGCUUACCCACUUCAUGGACUCAAUUCCUUCUCUCCCAAAACGGUGCCGUUUCUAGCUGCAACCCUUUUUCAAAACGGUGCCGUUUUGAUUUAUACCUAGGUAUAAAAACCCCUUCUUCAUACUUUCAUUUUCUGCCCCAAUUUUCUGUCUCUACCACUGGACCCUUUCCUCUCUCUCUCUCUAGAAACUUCCUUCUUUCCUUUCACCGGUCACCCAAAGACUUUCCCAUUCCAGGCACCGGUCAGCUCUUUCUCACUACCCCUCUCUACCCUACCGCUGACCACCCAAAGCUCCAGAUCCCUCCAAACCGCCGAUCGUCUCUCUCUCUUUCUCCCUGAAUGUCGCUCGGUCCUCUCUCUCUCCCCUAAUCAGCGCCGAUCGGGCUUCCUCUCUCUCACUCUUCUCUUACUGGUGCAAACCCGGGCCCCAACUCUCUCUCUCUAAAACGAGCAGCACCCCAAAAUUGGACCAAGAUCUUUGAUUUCCACAACUGGCGACAGUUAAUCCCAGUUUGAAACUCACCAAAAACCCCAAACCCGACUAUCCAGCCAACAACACCUAAAACUUUUUCCUUUUCUAAACUUUUCCCCAACCGGCAGCACUCAAAGAUGCCCCCUCAUGAUCUCUUUUUUUUUUUUUUUUAUAUCUGGAUUGUGGUAUUUUUUUCGACUGCUAAAAGGUUGCUAGGGAUUUUUGGUUGCUGGUUGCUAGGAUUUUCUAGGUUUGCAGGUUGUGGCCCUUUGAUUUUUUUUGUUUCUGGCUACAGUGGGGCUUUAUACACUCAACUUUUUGGCCGAGUGUAGUGCCUCCACUACCCUACCAGACGCGAGGUGCCUGGCAGGGUGCGUCCGCACCCUGCCUGUCGUACCCCUCUCUCUCUUCUAUUUUUUUACUUCAUUUUUUAUUUUCAUUAUUUUUAUUUUUUUGUUUAUUUAUUGUUUAUUUAUUGUUUAUAAAAUUUUAUUAUAAAUUUUUUAGUGUCUACAAAAACUAAUCACGUAAUGCCUAAAAACCAAUCACGAAAUGCUUAAAAACGAAUCUCGCAAUACUUAAAAACCAAUCUAACUAAUUUCAAUUCCUUAACUUUGAGAUUCUAUGCAUAAACCAAUGAACUCAAGAACCUAAAACAUGUACUUUUUUUUUUUGCUAAGCCAUGAAAUUGUGCAUUUCAUAAAAGAUAGGUUACAAAACUCCAUAACCCUCCAAAGCAAAACAAAAUAAAUCCCUAUCGGGGAGGGCCUUGCUCACUCCCCUUAUGCAAAAAUAAAAUAUACUCCCUUUACAAAAUAUUUCUUGAACAAUUUCAAUUCAAAAUCUCAUAAAAAAAAAUCAAAAUCUUCAGCAAAUAUGCUUAACAAUCAUCCCAAUAUCAGACACAACAAAAUCAUGAACCAUUAUAAAACUCAUCAAACAUACUUCAGCUAUUUCUUUUCCCUAAACCCAUCAUCUUAACUAAUCUGAUCCAACUCAUCAACAAAGGCAUCUCCAUCGUAGCACACAUUUCGAAACAAGUCAUCACCAGAAAACAUCUAAUUACCAAAUUCAUCACGUUGCCUGUAAUCACCAUAGAAGAGUAAAAUCGUUGUUCAUCGUCCUUGAGAACCCCAAGAUCCACUAUCUAAAAAAAUAAAAUAAAAUAAGAAAGAACUAGAUAUCAUCUCCGAAUGGCAAGAUAAACAGUAUUUGACCAAAGAGAGAAAUCGAAAUUUAAUUUUAAAAUUUUUAUCUUGAUGGCGGGAUAGAGAAAAUGAAACCACUUUAACUUGUUUGAAAUUGUUUAAAGGGUAUUGUUGUCAAGUCAUGUCAAAAAUUAGCUAAAACUAGUUAAAAUUAUAAAAAAAAUGAUAUUUUUGAAUUGAGCUUAUGAGGAAGGUUAUUUUUCACAAUUUCCUCAAAAUAUAACAUAAGAUAUAACACAUUUUCUUUGUAAAAAAUAAGGGAAAAAUAAAUUUCACAUUUUCUUACAAUUUUUUAUACGUGAAGAAAUAAUUCAUUUCAUCAGAGAUCGCAUUAAGGGAAAUAGAGAAGUAGCAGAAACAAAACAAACCAAGGUAGCAGAGAGAAUCCAAACACUAAAUGCAGAAAAAACUAAAUACAGAAAAAGCAAUCGACUUAAGGGCAUCAGAUUUAGCAAGACCACGAUGUAGCUGAGGAAGGCCGAUUGCCACUUGUGCCGCGAGAAUUCUUACUAUAUAUAGUUGACAGUUCCAGAGAAAGAAGGCUUGGGAGGCAUUUCAAGGAGCUCAACUUCACUUUCAAGCACCUUCAAGACUUUUCUUAUUGAAGGACGAUCUGUGGGCUUCAUCUGUACGCACCAUAAGGCUACUAUUACCAUUUUCCUCAGAAUUUUGUUUUCAAUUUCUGUCACAUCUCCAAGCUCCAUGAUAUCUCCUUCGUCUAAUCGAUCAUAAAUCCAUGAUGAAAAAUAAAUUUGACUUAAAUGUUCGGUAAAGACAUUCAAAUUUUUUCUCCUUCCGAUAAUUUCCAUUACCAUCAUUCCAAAACUAUAAACAUCGGCUUUAUAUGAUAUACCUCCGGUAUUUUAUAAAACAAUUCAGCAGCCAUAUAUCCUAGCGUACCUUGUGCUGCUGUGAGAGAAAUAACAUCAUCAUCCACUGAAUACAAUUUUACACAGCCAAAAUUUGAAACUUUUGGAGUAAAAUUCUUGUCUAGAAGUAUGUUAUGUGGCUUGAUAUCAAAAUGUAAGAUUUGCAAUUCACAGCCUCUAUAUAAUAUUCAACACCUUGAGCCACUCCCAAUGCAAUCUUAAACAUUUUUUGACAACUCAAAGUGUUAUUUUCAAUUGAAAAUAUAAUUUUAUCCAAGGACCCAUUCUUCAUGAAUUCAUAUACAAGAGCUUGUUUUGAUCCCUUCAUGCAAAAUCCAAUAAGUCUUACCACAUUAACAUGAUGAAUCCUUCCAAUAGUUGCAACUUCAUUGAUGAAAUCUUAGCCAUUAGCUUUUGAUUUGCUUAACAAUUUUAUCGCAACAAGUUGACCACUUCAAAGUUUUUCUUUAAACAUAGAAUAAUAUCCUCCUUGACCUAAUUUAUUCUUGAAGCCAUCCGUCAUUCUUUUUAUUUCAGAAAAAGAAUAUCUUAUAGGCAUUAAAUUGUUUUGAUUUUGAAGAAAAUUCUCAAUCUCGUCAUCCAUCGAUAAAUACCUCCUAUUUAAUUCGUGUAUAACAAAUACAAUCAAGCAAGUUAUCCCCAAAAAUGUUCUUAAUAAUAUAAUUCCUGUUUCUCGAAAAAAAGAAAAAAGAGAGUACAAAACAAAUAUAUAAAUCAAUUAGUUGGACAACAAGAUUGUAGAAUAUGUGCAUGCUAGUUACUAAUUUAAUUUGCGUAUAUGCUGCCAAAUUUCACAAGCAAACUUCAUAAAAAAAUUUGAGAUAAGGUUCAAAUUUAUCACCACCCGACCUAAGGUAAUGGAUCAAAUUUACUAUUUAUUUUUUCAACAAGUGUAAUAUUUAUCAUUGUACAUUUUCGUUCAUUUUGUAACUUUUGAUCACUUUUAACAAAUUUAAAAGUAUAUUGACAAAAUUGUAUGCAUUCAAGUAUGGUGAUAAUUUGGUUCAUCACCCAAAGUAAAAUGAUAAACUUGGACAUAAUUUUUAUUUGGACCAAAAAACAUUGUAGCAACAUAAAAAUACCUAACUGAAAAAAACCCAAUGAAUGUAGUUCAAUAUUAUUCAUGAAUUAUUUAUAGUAUAUCGUCUCUUAUUUAAUAAUUUUAUCCUUUAUUGGAAUCUCUUUAUACAUACAUAUACUUUAUAUACAAUACUCAUACAAACUAUAUAAAUUUGAGGGCUCAAGUUGCAAAUUAAUUAAGUUUUACACCUUUUUAUAAUUUCAUAUACUAUUCGUACUCAUCAUUACAUAUAAAAUUUCAAAUCAAUGUGAUAAUCCAUAUCAUACAUAUACAACGUCAAUGUCUCUAAAAUAAAGAGAAAAUAAUUUUGGUGGAUAAGGCAACCUAAAAGUUACGUGUAAUUAAUGACACCACCUACAGCAGAGAGAAAAUAAAGAGAGGGAAUAUAUUUUCUUUCAAUGCGUUCGUGCCCACAACCUAUUGUUCCACCUACCCACCACGUUAUCAAUGUUAAUUCUGUAAAGCGACUUGAUGAAUCCAAGCACAACGAAAGGUUCAAGGCGGUAAUGCACACGGAUUCCAUCGACUGCUAUUGUAGUUCCUUUAGACAUUUUUUGGAAUGUCUCAACAUAUCUUUAAUCUAUUGCUAUAUUCAUAGUAGUUACCAUUUAUAUCGUAAUAUCAAACUCAUUGAGGAAAAUGUUGGUGAUUUAUUCUCUAUAAUCUGUUUUCUAAACCUUCUUAUUGGACAGAAAGACACUUUGGAGAAAGCCUAGUAAUCAAUUUGUUUUUAAAUUGACUUCAAAAAAUUUCACGUUAUCUUAGCUUGUGAGUUGUUUUUAACAAAAUGUGUUUUCAAAUUUGGAAUUUAAAUAAUGCAGUCCAAGUGGGAGAUUAUUAGAUUUUUUUUCAAAAAAUAAAGGGUAGACUUAAUUUAUUUUACCUUUUUUUUUUAUAAAAAAUGGGUUAAGCUUAUUUGAUAUUGAUAAAGAGACAAUAUUAUAAUUCCUAAUAUGAUCUAAUAAAGAGGAGUAGACUCCAAUAUUAAAUAUGAGCUUAAGAGUAUAGACCUGUGUAGAAAAUCUUAAAUUUUAUAAUGGGUAGGACUAAGGAUUUAUCAUAUAAAAGUAAAGCAUAGGUUCUCUCUCUUUCUACACCAAAAAUAUUAAGUUUCUUAUCCAUUCAAAAGUUUUUAGAUUAAAGGAGGAAGAUUUUAGGGCAUUGAAUCUCAGCAAUUAAUUUAGUUAGUAUUAUUACCAUUGUGAAAUCAUGUAUCAUGAAUCAAAUGCACUUUUAUGUUCUAAAUUCCGUUAUGGUAUAUUCUGAGUUAAUUAAAUUAAUUAUACUUCAAGAAAUAAAGAAAUAAAGAAAUUUAAUAAAGGAUAUUGAAUAUGGAAGAAAACUACCUUGGUAUUUCCAUUUCACAAUGAUGUAUUUAUAGUACAAAGAUGAUAAAAUAAGAUAGUUAUCAAAAUUCUAAUUGAAAGAUAGGUUUCGAAAUUCUAGUUUAGAUAAAACAUAUCUCAUCUAUAGAUUUAAAUAUAUCAUCCUUAAUAUCUAUCUAUGUCAUCCUUUAUACUUGUCUUUUGUUCUUAAAUUGACCUUUAUCUGCUUGUUGAUUGAAGAUUUAGCUUUAUCUAUAUGUUGAGUUAACUAUUGCUAUUUGUAACUCCAAUAUGCCCUCGUAAGAUGGUGGCACUAUUAGUGACUCCAAUAUUGGAUAGAAGGAACUAGAACCUUGCUUUGGUAGCGAUUUAGUAAGUGCAUAUGCUAAUUGAUGUUCUAUGGGAAUAUAAUUGUCGUGAAGUUGCCCUUGUUUCACUUUUCCUUUUACAAAAAAUUUCUAUCGCAAAUGUUUCAUCCUCGUAUGAAAGAUUGAGUUUUUGCAAGUGUGAGUGGCACCUAUGUUAUCACAGUACAUAGUGGGACAACUAUGUAAGAUUAUCUGAGGUUCUUGAACGAGAGAUUGAAUCCAUGUUGCUUUUGAAACAAUAGGUGCAAUAGCUUGACAUCCAGUUUCUGUAGAGGACUUAGCUACUGUCUUUUGUUUCUUUGAACUUUAAGAGAUUGAAGUGCUUCCAAGAUAUAUGAUAAAGGCAAAAAUAAAGGUCCUAUCUUUAGGAUUUCCUGCCCAGUCAGAAUCUGUGAAGACUUGCAAAGAUGGAGUAGUUUCCUUUUUUAAUGAAUAAACUAUAGAACAAGGUUCCUUUGAAGUAUCUUAGUACUCUCUUCAAUGCUUGAUAAUGUAGCAUUGAUUGUUUAUGCAUAAAUUGAGAGAGUUUGUUAACAACAAAACAAAUAUCAAGUCUAGUAAGAACAAGGUACUAGAGAGAACAAACAAUUUUCCUGAAUUCCUCGUCGUUGGUUGCUGUAGAACUAUCAUGUAAACUAAGUGGAGCUAUAAUAGAGAUUGGUGUAUUUGAUUCUUUUGCACCAGACAUACCAACUAUGAUUAGAAUAUUUGAGAUAUAUUUAUGUUGAGAUAGAAAAAGACCUUUUGGUGUAGGAAAAACUUCAAUGCCAAGAAAGUAGCUUAAGAAACCAAGAUCUUUGAUUAUAAAUUGUGAUAAAUUUUGGUGUAGGAUAAACUAAAAACACAAGAAUUUACGUGAUUCGAUCUUUUGAUGACCUACGUCUACGGGCACAGCAAUAGAGAAAAAUUCAUUAAGAGAACAAUAAGGAGAUUACAAAAACAAUCUCAAACUCACAACCCUUAUCCCAUAUACACCCAAAUCACUCUCUCUAAAUCUAGGUGAUGAUUAUUCUUUAACCCUAUAGGGUUCUUUUAUAGUAUAAUAAUCUUUAUCGUACUAUAAUUAAGAAUUGUUAUUCUAAUCUAACUAGAUUUAAAGACUAUUAAAUAAGGUAUAUUAGUUUAAUUAGAAUUAAACAAUCCUAAUUAAAUCACAAUUCAAGACUACCCUAACAAUUGUCAAAGCUAUAUCGGCCAAAACAUGAUUGCAUGGACACCCACCGGUAAGUUCUCUAUUCUUAAGAAAAAACGAUGCAAUGCUGACAACAACCUAGAAAAAGAAUCACCUAAUUAAACAAGGGAAUUUUUGCAGAGCUAAAGCCUGUAAUUUCUAGAAAGAAUACCAACACACUGUAACACCCCGUACUGUCGUUUAACCAUCAAUAAGACCCUAUCGAUUAAACAAAGAGUCACUUGAUGUAAAUUAAGGGUCAAAAAGCGGUUACGAGUGAAAAGAAUAUUUUAAAAUAAAAUAUUAUUUUCUGUAUAAAAUAAUAUUAAAAUAUUAAUAUUUUAUCUAUUAUUGAAAUUAGUCAUGAAAAAUGAUAAUAUGAUUGAUCUAAGUUGGGGAGAAGAAAUAAGAAAGAAUUUCAAAGAAAAACAAUGAUAAUUUUGUCUGCGUGAUUUUAUUAAAUCGAGUUAGCGCGAGUAAGUAAAUAUUUAAAAUAUUAUGGUGACACCGCGUUGAAUCGCAAUUUCGAUAUUCUGAUUGUACGAGUGUAAAGGAAGAGAGAUAGAUGGAAAUUAAAAUUUUUAAAUGCAUCGAAAAGAUCAAAUUUUAAAAUACGGAAGUUGAAAGGUUGUGUAGUAAAUAAAAUGAAAUUGAGGACUCACAUGUAAAUUUUAAUAAUUAAAGGAAAUAAAAUAAAUACUAGCAACAAUAAAAAAAAUUAUUAUAAAAGAUCACAUGGGCAGCUGCCCAUGUGUGGGAUAAGGAGGCCAAAAUGUAAUAUUUUUUUAAGUUAAAUGAUGGUAGGGGCCGACUUAAGAACACAAGGGAGAGAAAACAAAAAAAAAAAAGGGGCCGGUCAAGUGAUAUAGAAGAGAUGAAAGAGAGAAAGGCAAAGAAAAGUCAAAGCCAUUUAAAGGAGUAGUAGCCAGAUUUUAGGGAGAAAGAAAGAAGAAGAAAGGAAAAACGAGUGGGGGAACAUUGACAAUAAACUUGUCAUUGACGGCCCCACCAUGAAGCCAUAUCAAAUACAACUUUUCUUUGUCUCUUUCAUUUUAUCCUUAGCCAUUUUGGGAGAAAAAGAGAAAGGGAGAAAGAGCCGAAAUGUGAGAGAGAAAGGAGGAAGUGUCACGGGUUGAAGGGAGAGUUUCUUGGGUGGUUGUAGCAGGUCUUGAGGGGAGAAACAAAGCAAAGAGGAAGCCAUUUAUGGAGCUAAAUAAAAAAGGGAAAGAAGCUGAUUUUUGAGAGGAAAGAGAAACCUUGUGCUGCUAGAUUUUUGGGAAGGAAAAGAGAGGAAGCUGGGUUGUUAUGGUGACCAGCGGUGAGAGUGAAAGUAGAGAGCUUGCUGCCGGCGUUGGGAGUGAAAGAGGAAGGAGGAAGGAUGAAGGCUGUAGCAAAAAGGGUGAGAAAGAGAUCGGGUGAAGGAAAGGUAAUGGGGGCAUAAAAGGAAAAAUAUAUAUAAUAAAAUAAAAUAAUAUAUAUAUGUAUAGUGGGUUUCAAUAUUUAAGAGAAAUGAGUAAAGGUGGUACAUUGUGGUGGCAGGCCGAAGGAAAUAACGAGCGACCAGUAAGAAGGAAUAAGUAGAUACAUUUUUGAAUUAAUAGCGACGUAACACCCCGCUAUUGUGAGGUGAGUAGGGGGUGUCAAUUUUAAAAUUCUCAUAAUAGUAUAAAAGUAUGUAUAUUUUAUUUUAGAUGCAAAAUUGUGGAUAACAUGUGCUGGUAGAAAUUUUAGGAAAUUGUGAAUGUAAAUUAUUUUCAAAAAUUGUUUUGAAUAUAUAUAUAUAUGUAUAAAUUAUAUGUAAAGUGUUUUCAAAAUGGGAAAACAAGCCAUUCGUACUGUUUUACCCUAAAAUCUGUGCCUUAUAUUUGUGCAAUGUGCAUCCAUGUUUAUAUUGCUUAUCCACCAUGCAAAUUAUUGUUUUGAAAUUCAUGCAUAAAUUCAUUUUGAGAAAAUGAUAGAUUUUAUCAUACCCUAUGUUGAAUGCUUUGGAAAUAAUUUUGAGACGAGUUUUUAAGGACAUAAAAUGAUUUCAAAAAAAAAAAAGGCUUUACAAACCGAGGGCAUCGAGAGUAGGCCGAAUGUCAGAUCGGUUAAGUGUGACCCUCGUGCACGAGUGAGCUCUAGCUAGAGAACCUUUGGGUCGCCAACGGGCAGUUAGGCGUGGUGGGGACCACGCCUGUGAUGUAUGUAUGCGUGGCUAGCCCACCAAUGAUUUACACGGUUGCGACCGCCGGAUAUCUCCGAUGUCGGCCAACAUCAUGAGACUGCCAUGGCAUGUGGGAUCCGGUGGAGUGAGGCUCCAAAAUGUUAUUACGUGGUAAUGGGACCACGGGUUUAUUUUCAUUUCCUACUCGAGAGUGGCAUCUCUGGGUUUUCAAAUUUAUAUUUCUUUGCAUGGUGAAAGUGGAAUUUAAUGGUUUUUCUGCAGCUCUCUUAUUUUUACGGUGAAAUGAAUUUUAACUCCUCGAGUGCAAGACAAUUUGUGAUUUACAUAUGAGUUUGAUUAACAUUUGAUUUCAUGGGAGCUUGCUGAAUAUAUUGGUUUGAUUUGAGAAAAAUGUCAAUUGAUCUUAAUGACGGAAUUUUCUUUAUGUAAAAAAUUAUUUUAAUUCAAUAUUUCAAAUGAUUGACUUGAAUAAGGUUAUUGAUCUGUUUUGUAGUGAAAAUUUUUGUCUACCUUGGUUAAUUUACCAAUUGAAGUGUUUAUAAUGCGUAAGAAAUUCUCAGUAUUUCAUAUAAGGCACAAACAUCCGUUUGAAAUAAAUUGUUUUUAUAAUCUUGCAUUUUUAAUAUCAACUGAUCUGUUGUUUGCUUGUUUCACAUCUACGCCCUACUCACGGAGCCGAUGAUCACUGAGUCUGUGAGACUCACACCCCUUUUUAUUUUCCUUUUUGCAGACAGUGAUCAGCCUAGUGAGUAAUCAUCGGAACGUAUGGUCCACCGCAAAUAGGUAAAGGCAUCUCAUAGCAUUUUAUCCCGAGUCACUCCACUGUUAGAGGUUGAGUUGUAGUACUCUGGUUUUACUAUGUAAACAAAUAUUAGUUUUGAUAUAAACGAAGAUUUGGGAUUUUUGAACUCAAUGUAUUUAAUUGUGAUGUCAUGACUUAAAGUCAAAAUUUAAUGGCUAUGCUUAUUAUUGAAUUCAUGUUAUAAAUAUAUAUGGAUCAAACAUUAAUACAGUUUAGUAUAACUGUACAAUGAGUUAUUGAGAAAUUUCUUUUAGGCUUGUUCGGGACUUGACGGGAUCUCCCGGAGGUCUCGGACGCCGGUAGCGACCAAUGAGGGGUCGUUACACGCACGUACUAAUUUUGUACCGUAACCAUAAACCACCUUGUUUUUUUUUUUUCAAAACAGGGAUUUAGUGCCUUUUGAUCAUGAUAAUCAGGUAAAGAUGUUUCAAUUUUUUAGGGUAAAAUUCACUUUUUAAAAAAACUUUUUUAUCAUAAUUAUACAUGAAUCUAUUAAUUUUUAAAAUGAAAACUCCACCCUAAAAGAAUAUUUUCUUUGGACACAUAAGUUUUCCAUUAAUUUGAUGACGUAAUGAUAUUUUUACGAUAAUUUUACUAGUCAUUAAUUUUAAAAAUUAUCACUAUAUAAAACACAAUUUCUCUCUACCCAACAUUCUCUCUCCGUCUCUCACUAAAUUUUCUCCGACAUAGAUGGCAAUGACAACAAACGUUCUUAGAAUGAAUCCGAUUACAGGAACACCAAAUCUAGAUAGAAAAUGCCAGAUUUGGCAUUCUUGCAAUGCGGAUGAGUGUUGAAGGAGCUCCCCGGUGUCAAGGAAUGUUAGAUUUGGCAUUCCCUAACUAGAUCUAGCCACGAAAGAGAUAGAUCCGAUGUUCCCAAGGUCGAAUCUAAUGAGGGAAUGCCAGAUCAAACAUUCUCGCAAUAUUGACGAGCGUUGGCAAGGCUCCUACUACUGAGGAACGAGGAUCUAGCGUUCUUCAGCUAAAUUUGACUAUGAAAGUGACAAGCAUUGGAAGGGCUCCCUAGCCAAAUAUAGUGUUCUUGUGACACCAAGGAGCCUUGGCAAGUCCAAGAUGGUGCUAGGGUAAGGAGCGACAUCUAUUGCGUGAGAGAAAGAAAAAGAGUGAAAAAAGAAGAACAUUUUAAACAUUUCACAUUUAGAUAUUAACAUCGUUUACAAGUUUGGGACAAAGUGAUCAAUUUGAAAACUAAUGGACCUAUAUGUAGUUAUGACCAAAAGUUAAGGGGAUCAAUGUAUUUUGCUCCAAAAAAGUUGUAUCGCGUCUUGUUGAAAAACAAGUUGUCAUAUUAAAAAAUUGUUGCAAUCAUCUCUUAAGGCCUCCGCAAACAGUAGAGAAUAUCUUUCCAGUAAAGUUCUUGAACAUUUUUUUACAAAAUCAUUAGGAAAUGAGACAAAGUUUUGCGAUUCAUCAACAAAAUCAUCUGGCAAAGACUUUUUUAGAAUUUUUUAUGAGAUUUUAUGUCACAACCCGGAAUUCCCAUUGAGCCUGUGACAACUACCGCGAUGUCUCGAUAGGCAUUCAUACCCCGAAUACUGAUCGAAACAUCGCAAGGCUUUCGUACCAGUUUUCUUAUUUCCCCCGUGAGUAAUCAUUCCACAAAUCAUAUUUUAAGAGGAGUAUUUUAUUUUUAUUUUUUAAAAAACAAUAGAAAAACGAUUUACACCUCACAGGGGCACUUUUUUUUUUUUUGCCAAGACUUCCGAAAAUUGAUCAAAUUAUAAAUAUUCAAUAAAAAUAUUCUAUUUUCUUGAAAGGUAAUAUUUAUAGAAAUAACAGUAAAUAGUUUUAUAACGUGAAAACAAAGUAAAUUUACAUAUAGUGUAAUACAGUAAGUCAAAACAUGAACUUAAAUUACAAAGACACGUGAGCUCACAAAUUAACAAAAGUAGUAAAGACAGUGAACCUACUGCUGGUGAGGUUGCAGAGCCAACUGUGGUCCACGACUAACUCAGUUAUCUACACAUUAUGUAACUACCCCUCCUCAGUCACUACCGGCGUCCAAGACCUCUGGGAGAUCCCGCCAAGUCUCGAACAAGCCUAAAAGAAAUUUCUCUAUAACUCAUUGUACAUUUUUACUAAUCUGUACUAAUAUUUGAACCAUAUAUAUAAUUUUAUAAAUUAAAAUUUCAUAAGAAGUAUAGCCAUUAAAUUUUGACUUUAAGUCAUGAUAUCACAAUUAAAUACAUUGAGUUCAAGAAUCUAAAAUUUAUGUUUUUAUCAAAACUAAUAUUUGUUUACAUAGUAAAAUCAAAGUACUACAACUCAAUCUCUAANNNNNNNNNNNNNNNNNNNNNNNNNNNNNNNNNNNNNNNNNNNNNNNNNNNNNNNNNNNNNNNNNNNNNNNNNNNNNNNNNNNNNNNNNNNNNNNNNNNNNNNNNNNNNNNNNNNNNNNNNNNNNNNNNNNNNNNNNNNNNNNNNNNNNNNNNNNNNNNNNNNNNNNNNNNNNNNNNNNNNNNNNNNNNNNNNNNNNNNNNNNNNNNNNNNNNNNNNNNNNNNNNNNNNNNNNNNNNNNNNNNNNNNNNNNNNNNNNNNNNNNNNNNNNNNNNNNNNNNNNNNNNNNNNNNNNNNNNNNNNNNNNNNNNNNNNNNNNNNNNNNNNNNNNNNNNNNNNNNNNNNNNNNNNNNNNNNNNNNNNNNNNNNNNNNNNNNNNNNNNNNNNNNNNNNNNNNNNNNNNNNNNNNNNNNNNNNNNNNNNNNNNNNNNNNNNNNNNNNNNNNNNNNNNNNNNNNNNNNNNNNNNNNNNNNNNNNNNNNNNNNNNNNNNNNNNNNNNNNNNNNNNNNNNNNNNNNNNNNNNNNNNNNNNNNNNNNNNNNNNNNNNNNNNNNNNNNNNNNNNNNNNNNNNNNNNNNNNNNNNNNNNNNNNNNNNNNNNNNNNNNNNNNNNNNNNNNNNNNNNNNNNNNNNNNNNNNNNNNNNNNNNNNNNNNNNNNNNNNNNNNNNNNNNNNNNNNNNNNNNNNNNNNNNNNNNNNNNNNNNNNNNNNNNNNNNNNNNNNNNNNNNNNNNNNNNNNNNNNNNNNNNNNNNNNNNNNNNNNNNNNNNNNNNNNNNNNNNNNNNNNNNNNNNNNNNNNNNNNNNNNNNNNNNNNNNNNNNNNNNNNNNNNNNNNNNNNNNNNNNNNNNNNNNNNNNNNNNNNNNNNNNNNNNNNNNNNNNNNNNNNNNNNNNNNNNNNNNNNNNNNNNNNNNNNNNNNNNNNNNNNNNNNNNNNNNNNNNNNNNNNNNNNNNNNNNNNNNNNNNNNNNNNNNNNNNNNNNNNNNNNNNNNNNNNNNNNNNNNNNNNNNNNNNNNNNNNNNNNNNNNNNNNNNNNNNNNNNNNNNNNNNNNNNNNNNNNNNNNNNNNNNNNNNNNNNNNNNNNNNNNNNNNNNNNNNNNNNNNNNNNNNNNNNNNNNNNNNNNNNNNNNNNNNNNNNNNNNNNNNNNNNNNNNNNNNNNNNNNNNNNNNNNNNNNNNNNNNNNNNNNNNNNNNNNNNNNNNNNNNNNNNNNNNNNNNNNNNNNNNNNNNNNNNNNNNNNNNNNNNNNNNNNNNNNNNNNNNNNNNNNNNNNNNNNNNNNNNNNNNNNNNNNNNNNNNNNNNNNNNNNNNNNNNNNNNNNNNNNNNNNNNNNNNNNNNNNNNNNNNNNNNNNNNNNNNNNNNNNNNNNNNNNNNNNNNNNNNNNNNNNNNNNNNNNNNNNNNNNNNNNNNNNNNNNNNNNNNNNNNNNNNNNNNNNNNNNNNNNNNNNNNNNNNNNNNNNNNNNNNNNNNNNNNNNNNNNNNNNNNNNNNNNNNNNNNNNNNNNNNNNNNNNNNNNNNNNNNNNNNNNNNNNNNNNNNNNNNNNNNNNNNNNNNNNNNNNNNNNNNNNNNNNNNNNNNNNNNNNNNNNNNNNNNNNNNNNNNNNNNNNNNNNNNNNNNNNNNNNNNNNNNNNNNNNNNNNNNNNNNNNNNNNNNNNNNNNNNNNNNNNNNNNNNNNNNNNNNNNNNNNNNNNNNNNNNNNNNNNNNNNNNNNNNNNNNNNNNNNNNNNNNNNNNNNNNNNNNNNNNNNNNNNNNNNNNNNNNNNNNNNNNNNNNNNNNNNNNNNNNNNNNNNNNNNNNNNNNNNNNNNNNNNNNNNNNNNNNNNNNNNNNNNNNNNNNNNNNNNNNNNNNNNNNNNNNNNNNNNNNNNNNNNNNNNNNNNNNNNNNNNNNNNNNNNNNNNNNNNNNNNNNNNNNNNNNNNNNNNNNNNNNNNNNNNNNNNNNNNNNNNNNNNNNNNNNNNNNNNNNNNNNNNNNNNNNNNNNNNNNNNNNNNNNNNNNNNNNNNNNNNNNNNNNNNNNNNNNNNNNNNNNNNNNNNNNNNNNNNNNNNNNNNNNNNNNNNNNNNNNNNNNNNNNNNNNNNNNNNNNNNNNNNNNNNNNNNNNNNNNNNNNNNNNNNNNNNNNNNNNNNNNNNNNNNNNNNNNNNNNNNNNNNNNNNNNNNNNNNNNNNNNNNNNNNNNNNNNNNNNNNNNNNNNNNNNNNNNNNNNNNNNNNNNNNNNNNNNNNNNNNNNNNNNNNNNNNNNNNNNNNNNNNNNNNNNNNNNNNNNNNNNNNNNNNNNNNNNNNNNNNNNNNNNNNNNNNNNNNNNNNNNNNNNNNNNNNNNNNNNNNNNNNNNNNNNNNNNNNNNNNNNNNNNNNNNNNNNNNNNNNNNNNNNNNNNNNNNNNNNNNNNNNNNNNNNNNNNNNNNNNNNNNNNNNNNNNNNNNNNNNNNNNNNNNNNNNNNNNNNNNNNNNNNNNNNNNNNNNNNNNNNNNNNNNNNNNNNNNNNNNNNNNNNNNNNNNNNNNNNNNNNNNNNNNNNNNNNNNNNNNNNNNNNNNNNNNNNNNNNNNNNNNNNNNNNNNNNNNNNNNNNNNNNNNNNNNNNNNNNNNNNNNNNNNNNNNNNNNNNNNNNNNNNNNNNNNNNNNNNNNNNNNNNNNNNNNNNNNNNNNNNNNNNNNNNNNNNNNNNNNNNNNNNNNNNNNNNNNNNNNNNNNNNNNNNNNNNNNNNNNNNNNNNNNNNNNNNNNNNNNNNNNNNNNNNNNNNNNNNNNNNNNNNNNNNNNNNNNNNNNNNNNNNNNNNNNNNNNNNNNNNNNNNNNNNNNNNNNNNNNNNNNNNNNNNNNNNNNNNNNNNNNNNNNNNNNNNNNNNNNNNNNNNNNNNNNNNNNNNNNNNNNNNNNNNNNNNNNNNNNNNNNNNNNNNNNNNNNNNNNNNNNNNNNNNNNNNNNNNNNNNNNNNNNNNNNNNNNNNNNNNNNNNNNNNNNNNNNNNNNNNNNNNNNNNNNNNNNNNNNNNNNNNNNNNNNNNNNNNNNNNNNNNNNNNNNNNNNNNNNNNNNNNNNNNNNNNNNNNNNNNNNNNNNNNNNNNNNNNNNNNNNNNNNNNNNNNNNNNNNNNNNNNNNNNNNNNNNNNNNNNNNNNNNNNNNNNNNNNNNNNNNNNNNNNNNNNNNNNNNNNNNNNNNNNNNNNNNNNNNNNNNNNNNNNNNNNNNNNNNNNNNNNNNNNNNNNNNNNNNNNNNNNNNNNNNNNNNNNNNNNNNNNNNNNNNNNNNNNNNNNNNNNNNNNNNNNNNNNNNNNNNNNNNNNNNNNNNNNNNNNNNNNNNNNNNNNNNNNNNNNNNNNNNNNNNNNNNNNNNNNNNNNNNNNNNNNNNNNNNNNNNNNNNNNNNNNNNNNNNNNNNNNNNNNNNNNNNNNNNNNNNNNNNNNNNNNNNNNNNNNNNNNNNNNNNNNNNNNNNNNNNNNNNNNNNNNNNNNNNNNNNNNNNNNNNNNNNNNNNNNNNNNNNNNNNNNNNNNNNNNNNNNNNNNNNNNNNNNNNNNNNNNNNNNNNNNNNNNNNNNNNNNNNNNNNNNNNNNNNNNNNNNNNNNNNNNNNNNNNNNNNNNNNNNNNNNNNNNNNNNNNNNNNNNNNNNNNNNNNNNNNNNNNNNNNNNNNNNNNNNNNNNNNNNNNNNNNNNNNNNNNNNNNNNNNNNNNNNNNNNNNNNNNNNNNNNNNNNNNNNNNNNNNNNNNNNNNNNNNNNNNNNNNNNNNNNNNNGGACUUUAAAAUUCUUAAUUUCAUUGUAAAUUCUCUAUUUGAUCUAGUUCGAGGCUUAAAUCAACUUUAUUGUACCUCUAGGUACAAUACCGACUUUUGUAAAUUUUUCAAGACUCUCUUAGCAUGUAAACAUGCUAUCCACCACAUGUAUGUCAUCACAAAUAUUUCUGUAGAGUCGGGCUUGUCAUCUUCUCCCCCACUUGGAUCAACCAUAUGAUCCUCCUUCUUGAUUGACUUCGACAUCCGGCUAAAUAUUAAUAUUUUAAUAUUAUUUUAUUAAUAAAAUAUUAUUUUAUUCUAAAAAUUUUAUCUUGUCUCUUUGGUACCCAAAAUACCUUAUUAUGCCUCACUUGACUUCCAAAUCGCCUUUUAUCUCACAAAUUCUCCUCCGAUAAAAUUAUUAUUAUUUUCUCGCUUACGAAAUAUUUUAUCAUAAACUACUCCUUUCGUCUUUUAUCACUUCUAAACAUUUUAAUUGACCUCAAUUUGCAUUCGAUCAACUUUAUUUAUCACCAUAUCAAAGUAUGGGGUAUUUCACUUUACAUAUACUUUAUACAUAUAUAUAUUCAAAUCAAUUUCUAAACAUAAUUUGCAACCACAAUAUCCUAAAAUUGUUACCAGCACAUACUAUUCACAAUUUUCGCGUUUAAAAUAGUUAUACGUAUAGGUAUAUAUAUUUACGAAAAUUUUAAAAUUGGCACCCCCUACUCACCUCAAAAUAGCAGGAUGUUACGUCGCUAUUAAUUCAAAGACAUAUCGAGCUACUCCUUCUUACCAGUAGUUCGUUAUUUCCUUCAGCCUUUCACCACAGUGCACUAUUUAUUUAUUUCUCCUAAAUAUUAAAACCCACUUAAUUAAUAUAUCUAUUUUUUAUUCUAACAUCAUUAUUAUAUAUAUUUUUAUUAUUUUCUUACCUUUCUUUCUCGUUUCUUCCUCUCUCUUCUACUCGUUUUUCUCUUCCUUUCUUCUCCCUCCUUUCAUGCACCAAUCGACUACACUUUCUUCCUCUCUUUCUCUCACCGUCGGUAGCUCUCAACCUUCACUAUUGGUGGCUUGAAGUCUCCUCUCCACUUCCACUGUUGGUCAGCUCUAGAUCAGUCCAAAUAACUCAAAUUUUCUCUCUUUUUAUUCAGCCAUUUUGUCACCAAAAACCAAGCUCUCUCGCUCUCUUUUUCUGUCAACCACCACAACCCAACUCUUUCUCUUUUUCUUUCCUCAAAAUCCAGCAGCAACUUAGCUUUCUUUUCCCUUAACAUUUGUAGCAAAAAUCUCCUCUUUUGACUCCUCUAAGUGGCAGCACAAAUCUCUCUUUCCCAGCUCACACUUGCUCUCUUUUUUCUUCCUCCUUUCUUUCUCUGCUUCUCUCGUUUUUGGCCGGCCUUCUCUCUCUUUUUAUUGCUCUCCAUUUGCUGCUGUUAAGAAGGAAGAAGGAAGAAUGAUUUUCACAUGGAAGGGAGAAAAGAAUGGACAUGACAACUUUUGUCCUUAUCUCCCUUCUUUCAUUCAAUCAUUCUUUCUUUUUUUGUUACUCUUUGCCGACCCCUACCAUCAUUCACCAUAAAAAAGAGAUAGUUUUUAUUAUUUUACUAUUACUUUGACUUUUAAUAAGUCACAUGCAGCCAUCCAUUCUUAUCUUCUCUCUUUUCAUCUUUGUUUCUUCUUUUCAUUAUUCUAUUCUUUCCUCUUUUAAAUGGCCGGCACCCCACUCUUUUAUAUCUUCCAUUGCUUGUUCAAUUACUUCACACAAAUAAUUUGCUUGACUUUCCUUUUUGCUUAGUUGACCGGCCUUUUCAACAUUUGUCUUCAUCAUCACUUUAAUUUCAAUUCCAAUUCCUUUUGUUCAUCAAAUGGUCGGCCCCUACUACCCAAUUCAUUACUUAAAAAAAAUAUUCUUACAAUUAUUAUAUAUAUAUUUUUAUCUCAUAGUUUAAUUAUUUUAUUUCCUCAAAAUAAUAAAGUUUACAUAUAAACUCUCCCCCACUUAAAUUAAACAUAUGCCCAUUUUUCAGACUAAUUCUCGUAAUUGAUAAUAUUUUAUUUUUAAAAUAUUCUUUUCGUCCGUAAUCGCUCUUCGACACCUAAAUUUACACCAAUUGUCCCUUUGUCUUAUUGAUAGGUCUUAUUGAUGAUUAAACGAGGAUACGGGGUGUUACACACUACUUAGGGCUUAUAAUUGGUGAAAAGGAGGGUGGUGAGAUUAAAUAAUCCCAGUAAGUAAACAGACACCAUCUAAACUAUCUAAAGUCGAGUAAAGGGAGACAAUUAAAAACAAUUCAUUUCAAUAAAUUUUUCACAACACGAAUAUUCAUUUCAACCAAAUAAUCAAUAUGGCUCGUGGAUUUCUCAAAACUUGGCUCAUGCCAAACCUUGUACUCGGGGACACCUGGACCAGGGGUAUCCAAUCGAGUCCGCCAAAGCUGUUAAAAAUUCAUAUUUCGCAUAAAACACAUUUUUCGUUGAACAUCACAGCCGUUCCUUGGCAUUGGCUGAGUCUCACUCUCACGAGGUGGUCCAAGUGAAGUGCACUCAAAAAGCCCACCUUAGGAGAUACCCUACGCGCCUCUACGACCAAGGUGAGAAUAUAAAGGAGUUUACCGUACCCCUCUAAUAGGCUGGUACACGAAACCCCGCCACUGCAGUAGCUAAUCUUUUAUCUACCACCUGAUUUAUAAAAUCUUUUUCUGCAUGAUAUGGUAAUUUAUCGCAACCUAGCCUCUCAAGGCUGAAUACAUAAUACAAAUAAUUCUAACACCAAAAAUCAGUUUAGCCAUUCAUGCUCAUAUAUUGUCAUAAGCCAUUCAAUUUAAAACCAUAAAUUUACAACACAAGCAGGCAGUCUCCAAUUACUCUAUUUUCAAAACCAGUAUUCGAUUUUCUAAAAAAUUUAUAAAAUUAUUUUAUAAAAUCGUAAUUUCUCCUAAAACAUAGCAAUUUACUAUUUAAACUCAUUUUUUUUAUAAAAUCACACAAUUGUAUAAAACUACUAUAGAUAAUUAAGACGAUAAUAAGUUUACUCACAGUUCUAAGAGUCGAUGUACUCUUAAUCUCAAUCUUCAAGCACAAUCUCUGUACUUUUAUCAGUGUAAUUUGCUCACCACUUAUCCACAAUGUACAAUACAUAAUUCACCACAUUAAUGCUUGACCAUUAUAAAAUCAAUUCAAGCUCGGUGUAUAUGCAUGAUUUGAAGUGCAAAAUGUCUAAAUUUUGCCUAAACGCGAUGUUAGCCUAUUUCGGUCUUUUACCCGAUAAAUCGAUAUACGCGUUCGUUUAAACUCCAAAUUAAUUUUUUUCAGUUUCUAUACCUCAAUUGCACCCAAAUUGACUUAAUGUCCCUCAAUGUGGUGCAAAUUAUCAGUCCCGACAGCAAAUUACGAAAAUACCCCCAGUGGGUAAAAAUUCAUAUUUUUACUUCAAAAAUUCUCAUUAUUUUUCUAGGCUCAUAAUUCAUCAUUAUUCAUCAUAAUUCCUCAAUUAAACAUCAGGAUCAACAGCCAAUAUUUUCCUAAAAAAUUCGGCCAAUAAUGGUAAUGGAGGAAAAUGAAUUCUUUUCUUGUUGUUUUGUUCCUAAAUAUGUCAAACUAACUAAAAACACUAACAUAACUUUAAAUCAAAUUAAUCUAACUUCAUUCUCUCUCCAUACCCAUUUGGGCAGCCAUGAAUUCACCAUGAAAACAUGAAAUCUAACCAUGGAAAAUAAGGAGAAAAGCAUGGGAAAAGUAGGUCACAAGUCAAAAUCAAAAAAUUUUACCUUUGAUUUCUUGAUUCCUUGAAAUCCACCAAUUUUCCUUUAAUUUUCCCACCUAGGUUUCUUGUUUUUUUUCCUUUCCUCCUUUUGUUCUUCCUUUUUCUUUGUUUGGCCGGCCAUAUGAAAGAGAAUUUUCUGAUCUUAUGUUUAUUUUAAAGUUAAAUAAUUAAUAAAUAUAAACUUGACAUAUGUCACCUUAUUAUUGGUCCAUGUGUCAUUUCUUAACUAUUAAGCUUUCUCUCUCCACCACACAUUAUUCAAGGGUCAAAAAUGAUGAUGGGUGAAGACCUUGUGCUGGAAAAAUGCUCUGGGGGUGCAAAAUUACCAUUUUGCCCCCGGGGUGGUAAAAUUACAUUUUUGCCCCAAAAAUUGAAAAAUUGCCCAUAGACAUAUUUUUCAUCCCUUAUACUCAUACCAUUCUCCAAUUUGUCAAAUGUGAUCUAAAUUCUCUUAAAAUCUCAAAUUUUAUCUGAGAGUGGAAAAAUUACGAUUUUGCCCCUACACUCCAAAAAUCACCGAAAUUAAACUUUUUCACUUCUAAACCUCAAAUCAUACUCCAAUAAGUCAAGUGGGGCCAAAAAAAUCUUUUCUAAAAUUCUCAUUUUGUCCCCAGAUGGCAAAUGACCAUUUUGGCCCUAGAUAGUGAAAAUUUCGAUUUGACUCCAACUUGCUCCUCGAACUCCGAAUUACUAUUUUGAGUCAUCCAUGAAUUGUGAAACUCUUAAUUUCACUUUAAAAUUCCUAUUUGAACUAGUUCGAGGCUUAAUCGACUUAAUGGUACCAUUAGGGGCAAUAUUGUCUUUUAACGAUUCCUCGAACUUCCUAUAUAUGCAAAUAUUCUAUUGAGUAUGUAAAUGACGUCGUAAUUAUUUUAUAGAAUAGGGUUUGACAUUUUACCAAAUUAAAGACGGACGAAAGCAACCAAAAUGCAAAACCAUUUUCUUCCCUAUAGUUCUUUUUCACCUUCUUCUUUCUUUUUUUUCCGCUUUCUCUUUCUUUCAAUUUUGCACCGAAUUUGAAAAAAUUGGAACAUUUUGUUUAUUUCAAGAGGGAUGGAAAAUCUUGAAACAUUCCUUUCCUUUCCUCUAUUUAAAUUCUUUUUAUUAUUAAAAUUUUUGAAAAGGAAGAUGAGUAAACCAAAAACAUCGUUUUGAAUGUUUAAAAGGCAUGAGAGAGCUGGAUGGGCAGUGUUUUGGAUGGCAUGAGAGAGAAAUCUAAAGCAUUUAAUUUGUCUUAAAGAGUUUUAAGAGUAUUUUUGUCAUAUCAUAACAAAAGUUGAGUAAGAACAGUUAACUUUAUAUUCAAGAUUAUUUUUUAAAUAAGCUUAUGAGGUUGGCUAUUUUUCACAAUUUACUCUAUUUUUAAAUUUCAUAUUUUGACUGCCUUGUAUGGUAUUGCAUCUGUAUGCUAUAUCUGGAGAUGUUGACUAUGUGCAAGCAAGGGAGUUACCUUGCCCUAUUUUGAGUUUUUCUGGAGUCUAUAUUUUUAGUAGCCCUGCGUGGAAUUUUCCUUUGUUGCUAUUCUGGUGGGAGCACAUUACACAAGAAGGGAGGUUAUUUUUGCUUUGCCAUUAUUAGAACUUUUCUGUCCUGCAGAGUCUCAAGCUGUUAAUGUCUGUUAUGGUGUUGUGUUGCUGCUUCAUUUAAAUUUCUGAGGAAUGAUGUUAUGUAUUUGUAGUCAUGUGUAUGAACUGAGUAUUUGUGCAAGGUGGUCAAAUCCCUUUGUCUUUUCUCAUGGUCUGGCUCUUUGCCGAUGACCAAUUUCAUGUACCAAUUCUUAAAUACAUAAUACAACUUACUUUUGGCUGAGAAAAAAAAAAAAUUCUUUACUUGCUUUUGUGUAGCAUGCAAAUUUUUUUCAAACUAUUCAACAUCUUCAUUUUUUUUUUGUUUGUCUUACUUCAAGCCAUGUAUAUAUGUAACCAAUCCACAUGAUGCUUACAGACAUUAGACAUACACACACACACACACACACAUAUAGCUUACAGACAUAUAUGACAAUAAGAGAAACAUGCUGGGAGAUAUCAUCCCCAAACUUUGUGACUACUGCACUUGUCCAAUGCUUUAUCUGAGUUUACAUAGAGUGGAAAAAGAAAAAAUGCCUUCUUUAUAUAAAUUUCAUGGAAACUGGAAACCCUAUUUGUGGUCUUUUAUUAAUUAAAAUUUUUUAACUUCUUGUAAGAACGUGACUUUGAUUUUCUUCAAUCUGGCAACAACUUGUUUCAUAUCAAUCCUCUUCUCUGGUAACUCCAUUGAACAUUCCAGCGCCAAUUGCAAAAUGGAUAACACACACUCAUUCGCUGCUAAGCUUUCACUUUUUCCGUUAUUCAGCAAAUUAGUGUCUACAACAUGAACUACUGCAUAUGGUAAUGACUCUUCCACCCAACACUUCAAGCUCGUCUCUUCCACAAACAUUUCAUCCGUGGGCUUCUUUCUUGUGAAGGUUUCCAUAAGAAGAAUACCAAAACUAUACACAUCACCUUCUGUAGAAUUAUAAUCCCUUCUGAUCCAUAUUCUGUUUUGAAAAUUAAUUUGAAUUCAUCAUAAAAAAUAUUCAUUGUUUUUGCAAGAUAAUGAAAAAAAUACUUAAAAUUUAGUGAUGAAUCUAAAGACAACAUAUACGCAUGCAUGUUCAUGUAAACAUAUAAGAGGAGAAAUAUAAAUCAUCUAAGAGUGAGAAUAAAAUAAAACCAUCACCUGGUGACAUAUAUCCGAUAGUUCCUAGCGUCAUGGUUUGAAUUAAAUCCUCUUCUCCUAAGAGUUUUGCAAUGCCAAAAUCACCCAAAUGGGCAAUCAUAUCUUUAUCUAGGAGGACAUUGUUAGGCUUUAAAUCGCAAUGAACUACAGGAGGGGUAUGACCAUGAUGGAGAUACUCCAAUGCGGAUGCGAUGUCUAUCAUUAUAUUCAACCUUUGUGAAAUAUCCAGAAAAAGGUUGUGAGAAUAGAGCCAGUUCUCCAAGUUUCCAUUAGGCAUGAACUCAAGUACCAAGGCUUUAAAAUCAAUAUUAGAGCAACUACUGAUGAUUUUGACCAAAUUCCGAUGGCGGAUGUUGCGAAGGACCUCACACUCAACAUCAAAGCUUUUAAGAGCUCUAUCAAGAGUUACAUUGAAGACUUUUACUGCAAUGCUCAUACCAUUUGAGAGAGUCCCUUGGUAUACUGACCCAAAACUCCCUACUCCAAGUAAAUUGCUUUCAGAAAAUCCAUCUGUAGCUUGAUCCAGCUCAUGAUAAGAAAUUCUUCUCCAUUCAGCUAAUACUAGCAAAUUUUCUUCAGUUGGCACUGCAGCUUUCCGAUUUCGACGUCGUAAAAAAGUUAUAACCAUGGCCAAUAUCAAUAUUAUUGAGCCAAUUGCUGGUAGAAUAUAUUUUAAAAGCUCAGUACCCAUCUUGGACCUUCUAGAGGGAUUCGUUUUGCAAGGUGGGACUUGCAAUCGAGGUGAACCACACAAGGCUUUAUUCCCCAUAAAUGAUUGAAUUGAGUAGUUGCCAAAUGAUCCUCCACUAGGAAUUUCCCCUUCUAGUCUAUUGAAAGAGACAUUGAAAUAUUUGAGAUAGGAAAGUUGCUCCAAGGACUUGGGGAUCAUUCCUGAGAGAUUAUUUCUUGACAAAUCCAAGAAUUCCAAACUUAUUAACUCACUUACAGACUCAGGAAUAGAACCCUGUAAGACAUUACCAGAAAAGGAGACAUGAGUUAAGUCUUUGAGAUCACCAAUGCUGCUUGGGAUAGAACCUGAGAACUGAUUAUCUGACAAAUUUAAAUUGGUCACGACCUUCCACUUUCCAAUAUCUGGGAGAGAGCCGCUUAGAGAAUUUGAAGACAAUUCUAGGAACAAGAUACCAUCAAGUCUUGUCAAGGUUGACGGUAUUGAGGUAAAAUUAUUGGAGUCUAAGAAAAGAUUUCUUAGAGAAACGACAUCACCUAAGCAUGAUGGAAUCGGUCCAAAUAGUUUGUUACCUGCGAGAGACAAGUACGCCAACUUCUCCAGAUGACAUAACUCAAAUGGAAUGGAUCCUUCAAGCCUAUUGUUUCCAAGAUCGACAUUUUGCAAAUCUCUCAAUCUUCCGAUUGUAGUAGGUAUUUUUCCAGUCAAGUCAUUGUGGUCAAGACCCAACCAUAACAACCUGGUUAAGUUACCAAUUUCUCUUGGGAUGCUGCCCUUAAUGUUGCAAAGAGAAGCAUAGAAAAGGGUUAGAGAAGCAGAUAAAUUUCCAAGAGCAGCUGGNNNNNNNNNNNNNNNNNNNNNNNNNNNNNNNNNNNNNNNNNNNNNNNNNNNNNNNNNNNNNNNNNNNNNNNNNNNNNNNNNNNNNNNNNNNNNNNNNNNNNNNNNNNNNNNNNNNNNNNNNNNNNNNNNNNNNNNNNNNNNNNNNNNNNNNNNNNNNNNNNNNNNNNNNNNNNNNNNNNNNNNNNNNNNNNNNNNNNNNNNNNNNNNNNNNNNNNNNNNNNNNNNNNNNNNNNNNNNNNNNNNNNNNNNNNNNNNNNNNNNNNNNNNNNNNNNNNNNNNNNNNNNNNNNNNNNNNNNNNNNNNNNNNNNNNNNNNNNNNNNNNNNNNNNNNNNNNNNNNNNNNNNNNNNNNNNNNNNNNNNNNNNNNNNNNNNNNNNNNNNNNNNNNNNNNNNNNNNNNNNNNNNNNNNNNNNNNNNNNNNNNNNNNNNNNNNNNNNNNNNNNNNNNNNNNNNNNNNNNNNNNNNNNNNNNNNNNNUCGUUGGUUUAGCCAUUUAUAUAAGCAAAGGAGGAAGAGAAGAUAUGGGAUGCAUAGCUAGCUAGAUACAUCGUCGAGACUCGGUUGUUCACAUGAGGAGAAUCUUUAGCCCAAACAGACGGAAAACUUUGCCAAUAGGGGGGCGGGGCCUUCGAUUUCCACAUGGGUUCCAAGAUCGGACAGGGACAUGUCGACGCCAAUGCCAUGCCAAUCUCCUUAUCCCUUCAUCAUCUACAUAGUCUUCGUCGCUUCCUCUCCCUCCCGAUAAAAAGAAGAAUUUGAUAGUUCCAACUUUCUUUCUCUCCAUGUCUUUUCUUUUUUCUUUUUCUUUUUUUUUCAUUUUCAGCCCAAAAUGACUAAAACACCUCCACAUGCAAAUUUGUUGGUUAAUUAUUAAUAUGCAGCGUUAUUAAAUAAAAAAUAAAUAAUAAUUACAACUAGGUAGCAAGAGAAAUAUCCUUCUUAAAACUAAUCAAUAAUAAAUUCAAAAAUUAAUUUAAAAAACAAGAAUAUGUAGUAUACUAUAAAAAAUUGAAUUUUAAUCACACUUUUUUAGGUAACAUAUUUUUUUUUAUAGUAAAAUUUUAAAAAGUGCAGUUAUUUAAACUUUUAAUUUCACUUUUUUCACAUUUAAUAACAAUAUAAAAAAGUGUAACUUUUGCUAGUAUAUACAAUCUCUAUCGUUACAUUUUAUUUAUAAUGCAUUUAAAAAUUUAUAUAGUGAAGUUAUAUCUACAAAAAUGUUUAAAAAGCAUAAAAAAAGUGUUAUAAAUAAUAUUUUUAGUAGCACAUUUUAAAAGUGUGCUGUUUUAAGUUAAAUUUGUUGUAAUGUGUUUUGAGGAAAGAAGCUGAGUAGUCCAACAAAAGUUUCAGUCCUCCUAUUGGGACCACUAAAAUUUCCAAGGUUCUCAUGUGAACGUAAUAUCUUACAUCACUUAAAAGUGGGAUGUUUAUAUAUAUAUAUAUAUGUAAACUCAUUAACGUAGACUUUUUAAUUUACAUAGUGACCAACAUGUAUGUAUGAGUUUUUUUGGUGUGCUCCUCAUAGUCUUUUUGAAUUUGUCCAAUUACGUAGCUUUUAAACACAUUUAAAAUCAAUGAAACUGAAUAUUCUUAUUUGAAUCCAAAUUAGUACAAAUAUAUUUUAAUUUAUAAUUUUUAAUAAUAUUCUCCUCUAUUAUAAUUAGUGUGUGAAUUGAAUGUAAACUAAAAUUUAAUCUAUCAAAAUGAUUGACCAAUUUACAGGCAACAGUUAAUAUUUGAAAUUUCAAUAUAGAAACAUUUUGCUUAAUAAUAGAUACAUAUAUUUUCUAAAUAAAGAAUCUAACUCAAAGUUUUUUUUUUUUGCAUAAAAAAAUCUCAACCUAAAAGUUUCAUAUUCAAAUAUUUCUCUGAGGAAAGUAUGUGGGAUAUAAAUGCUAACCUCUCACAAAGUAGUCCAUGAGUCAAUAGAAUGAAAUAACUUAGAGAGAGUCAAUAGAAGGAAAAAACAUAGAGAGAUAGUGUACCUGACAGGCUGUUAGACUCAAAAUUAAGGACCUUAAGAAGUGUUAAAUUCCCAAUACUUGAAGGAAUAGGUCCUUCUAAGUUAUUUUCUGAGCAGAUAAGUGUCUCUAACUUUAGAAGAGAACCAAUCUGCCAUGGGAUUUGCCCUGUAAAAUAUAAUUAACAUCUUUAAAUUACAAAGGAAAAAUAGAAAAUGGCAAAAAGCUUGGGCUUCUAGCAAGCCCAUUUCUAUAGAAGCCUAAUUCUAUUUUUAGACAAAAAAAUUUAAAAGAUUAACAGUGUCAAGCAACUUCUUUUCCUUGUUUUUUUCAAAAAAAAAUGUUCAUUCAAUGGAUAAAUCAUGUGAUUUCAUCCUACAAAAAAUAAGAAGGAAAAACAGGGGCGUAUUCAGAUAAAUAAAUCAAAAGACAUACUCCAUACAACAUUGAGUUUCAAAAAGCAUUUUUCUAGAGAAAAAAUAGUUGCAAAUUUUUUAUUUCUUUAUUUGAGAAGUAGAUUCUUACAACGCUUCAUCAAUUUUUUAUUUUGCAUGAACAAACAAAAUAAAAAUAGAAGUCUCAAUCCAAACGUGGAGAAAAAUGAUUUUGUAAUAUUUAAAUUUAUGUAAAAAAAAUACACUUGAAUAUUUGAUUUAUUGAUUAAUGAAUGAUCUUCUUAUUUAAAGAGUAUGGACUUAAAUUCUCUUUUAAAAAAACAAUUAUGUUAAAAAACAAUGGACAAAGAAACUUUAGAUAGUCUAUCAAUGCAUAUGUACCUUUGAGAUUGAUCCCCUCAAGCAGCAAUUUCUUAAGCAUAGUCAAAUUUCCAAUUUCCAAAGGCAAACUUCCAUCAAAAUGAUUAUAAGAUAAGGUCAAUUCCAUUAACUCUUUGCAUUUGAAUAAACUAGUUGGAAUUUUCCCCGUAAGCAGGUUCCCACCUAAAGAAAGCCCUUGCAAAUUAGGAAAUCUAUUACACAGAUCUGACGGGAGAUUACCACUGAGAAGAUUAACGGAGAGGUCAAUGAGUUGCAGCGAAGAAGUGUUGACUGGAAUGGACGGUAUCGAAUCAGAGAGUUUGUUGUUGCUUAGAUCAAGUACUUGCAAUGAAGAUAGGUUGAAAAUUGAGGGAGGUAUGGAACCUGAAAUCUGAUUAAAGGAGAGGUCAAUGAGUUGCAGCGAAGAAGUGUUGAGUGGAAUGGAGGGUAUCGAAACAGAAAGUUUGUUGUUACUUAGAUCAAGUACUUGCAAUGAAGAUAGGUUGAAAAUUGAGGGAGGUACGGAACCUGAAAUCUGAUUAUAAUCUAAGACCAAUAUCUCUAACUUGGGUAAAAAGCACAGAGAUGAUGGGAUUACACCUGUGAAGUUAUUACCAUACAGAAACAAGUUUUGAAGUUGAGUAAAGGAACCGAACCAUGACGGAAUUUCUCCAUUGAGGUUGUUGUUACCGAAAUUUAUAUUGUUCAACCGGUGCAAAUUCGCCAAUUGGUUGGGUAAUGAGCCAUGAAAACUAUUGUUUCUCAUGUUCAGCCUGGAGAGGAAAGACAGAUUUCCCAAGUGAGGUGGGAUGGUGCCGAUUAGACCCAUACCAAAAAGAUUUAGAACUGUGACCCUGAGAUGCUUGGCUCCGCAAGUGACACCGAUCCAAUUGCAUACCGAUGUAGCAGUUGACCAAUUGGUCUCCAAAAGAUUUUGAGGGUCAAAAGUUACAUGGGAUUUCAAUGCAAGAAGAGCCAAUUGGUCUGUGGUGAUAUUGGGUGAUUCUACAGACAAAGAAGUAACAAAGUUAUGAAACAGAAGCACAACAACAAGAGGGAGGAUAAAGCGAGCGUUUCUCAUGAUGAGAUUAUGUGGUUUGAGGAAUGCGGAAUGGAAUGGAAAGGAAUUCUCAAGGCAACUGCAAUUGGUCACGUAUGAAUUAUUGGUUGUGAAUGUCAUGGAUCUAGAAAGGAAGUAUCAAAUAUAUGGCAUUUCCAAACUUCAUUCCAUUCACAUACACGUUCCCUUUGCCCUUCUUCUUCUCUUUUGGUACUGCUUUCUUUCUAUUUUUUUUUCUUAAUUGAUUGAAUAAAUUUGUGACUAAUUUUCGUGGAUAAGACAAGCAAAAAUACCUAUAACUUUCAGGGUUGCAUUUGUACACCGUAUGCUUAGAACCACACCAUAGACAACCUAAAAGUUUCGUAUAAUUAAUGACACCACCUAUAGCAGAGAGAAAAUGAAGAGAUGAAAGAUAUUUUCUUUAACACGUACGUGCCGACAACCAAUUGCUCCACCUACCCACCACGUUAUCCAUGUUAAUUCUGUCGAGAGACUUGAUGAAUCCAAGCACAACGAAAGGUUCAAGGCUGUAAUGCACGCUGAUUCCAUCGACUUCUAUUGUAGUUCCUUUAGACAUAUUAAUAUCUCAACAUCUCUUUAGUCUAUUGCUAUAUUCAUAGUAGUUACCAUUUAUAUCGUAACAUCAAACUCAUUGGGAAAACAGUUGGUGAUAUAUUCUCUAUAUUUGCCUUUGAAACUUUUUUAUUCAACAGAAAGAUAUUUUGGAGUAAGUCUCAUAAUCAAUGAUGGAGUGAGGAUUUCGCGUUUGGGGUGAAGACAAUGUUUAUAAAAUUGUCAUAUUAGAAGUUCAAUAUUUGACAAAAAUAUAAACUAAUUUAAAUAAAAAAGUUUCAAGUGAAAAUUAUACAAAUCACUCCAACUGUAUGUUAAGUGCAAAAUAAAGAUCCUUUUUACUAACUAUUGCAUGCUAAGAUUGGGCAUCAGAAUUUUACAAGAAGCUAUUGCUUGCUUAUGUGAAGAAUUAGUUACUUUGCCUUCAUGGACUAUAAAAGUACACUUCUCUUUGGGAUUCACUUUCUUCCAAUUGCAAAAACCUUCUGAUAGGAAUGCACUUUGACCUUUCCAUCCAAGUGGUUUGUGAAAAAUAAAACAUGGAAGGCAAUAUGCAGCCUUUGUUGUUGGUGAGAAUUCCAAAAAAAAAAAAUAAGAGGUGGUGGUUGUGAGGAAGUGAGGUUUGGAAAUAAUUCUAUUGCAAUAGGUUUUAUGUUAGUCUUUAAGUUUAUUAAAAUUAGUUGUUGACUAAUUGUUGUGGGGCAUCUCACCAAACAAAAAAUUAUUAUAGACGUAAAAUUAUAAAACUUUCAAAAAAUAAAGGGUUCUUUUCAAAACUAUCGCUCAUGUAUAAGUUGUUUUUGAAAAUAGCACUCUCAUAAUUUUAACUAUUUUUAACCAAGAGAACUUAAUUUUGGAUAAAAUUACUGUUAAUAAAAUCGACCCAUAUGUUUAUAUCCACGCUUCAAACCAACCCAUAUGUUUGGGUCAAAAUUUUUACCAUUAUAAUUUCUCCGCUUUCCUCGAUAGACCAUUCAUCUCAAGAGCAUUCCUCGCCAAGUCAAGUUUUGAGCAUUUUAAGCAUUAAUAGAAGCAUUUUGGAGUGGUUUGAGUAUAAAGGUAGGCAUAUUCGUUGAUUAUGUUAUUAAAUAGAAUAUAGUAUAUUGUUUGAAGUUAUUGACUUUGUUAAAUGGAAUUUGGUAGUGUUGGUGGUUUUUGGGUUGAAUGUUGGUAGGGCAUGUGUGACUAGUUUUAGGCAUUGGGUUUAGGGGUUUUAAGUAUUGCGUGACUUAGGUUUUGUGUGACUAGUUGCAUGACUAGUUUGAGUCAUUGGGUUUAAAGGUUUUAGGCAUUACGUGACUUAAGGUUUGUGUAAUUGGUUGAUAGGACAUGCAUGAUUUAUUUUAGGCAUUGGAUUUAGGGGUUUUAAGUAUUGUAUGAUUGGUUAAUAGGAAAUUGCAAAACCAAUUUUUACACAUUGCAUGACUAGUUGAUAGGGAAUUGUAUGAUUGAUUUUUAAGUAUUGCGUGACUAGUUAAUAAGAUAUUGCAUGACUGAUUGAUAGGUAUUGCGUGAUUGGCUUUUAGUCAUUUCAUGACUGAUUUGCAUGACAUUUUAAAUAAUCAAUUUUUAAACCUAUUUUGAAAUGGUUUGACUUAUUGCAAAUUUGCACCAAUAGCUGAGCAAGUGACGAAAAUGUUUUCCUAGUCAAUUUGCAUAAUUUAUCAAUGAAUUUUUUUCCCUCUAUGAAAGCACUUUGUUUGAAAUUAAAAUUUAAGAUAAAUUACUCAUUUGAUCCUAUCUUAAUUUCUCAAAAGUUUUUGUUUUGAUUACCGAACUUUAAAAAAUCACAUUUUGAUUACUAACAUUUAUAAAAAGCUACUGUUUUGAUCACACAACAUUUCCACUGUAGCUAACUUUGGCAACUUCUCAUGUCUAUAUUUAUAUGAUCAAAAGUAGUUCACAUGAAAAACCAAGUCAGAUAGUCGUUAAAUUUUAAUAGCUAAGUGAUCAAAACAUUAACUUUUAUAAACUAAAAACUUGAUUUUUCAAACUUAAGUAACCAAAAUAAAAAGUCUAAAAAAUCUUACCUACUUUCCGCCCUGACUACUUGAGCUAUUAAUUCAUGAUAGCGGGAGACGUUAAUUACUCUCGCUUUCUUGAAUUGGUUGUUCAUAUUUGAUUUAAUUGACAUGAAAAUUAAGAAAAAUAUUUUGAUUUUAAGUUAAUUUAUAUUAAAAUUUUAAUAUCCUACUAUAUUGAUGUUUGAUGCCCAAAAGAAUGUCAAAUAUUGAAAGAGUAAUACUGUGAAUGUGGACAGUUUUGGAAUUACGCCUCAGAAGAGUAGAAGGAGAAAGACUAAGGGAUGGAGAAAGUAAUUCUGUAGAAAACCUUAAAGCUACGGAUAUUAAUUAAACCUUUGCUAAAUGAAGAAGUUGAUGGCAGUAGAGAACUGGUUCGAAGAACGUGAGUAUGAAGAAGAUCCUCGCUUUCCACCGUACUGGUUGUUUUUCCGUCAAAGGCAUAGCUCCUUUUUGAAGAGCAGAUCAGAAGGAAGAGAAAGAAAAGAGAAGCAGAGUGGAGGAUUAUAAACAAGUUGGAGAACGGGGAAGUGGCCGUGGACCCUAUUUCCAGCUAAAUCUUUGUAGUAUUGUUUCAACUUGGAAACAUGUGCUACUUCAUUGCCUUUAUAUAGAAAACACUAAUACUCUCCGUACUUGUUUCUUCUACUUCCAAAGCAAUAAAAAAAAUGUUAACUUGUAAACAAAUAUUAAUAUUUUCCUAAAUUAAGAUUUAAUCUUUGUUAACAGCCAUGGACUGCAUAUUCGGAAAGGACAGAGUGGAUUAGGUAAGUCCCCUCUUAUAUUUGAAUGGUAUUGCGAUUUUUACCUAUUAACUAGUUUUUAGUACACCCACUACAUGGGUGGAAGAGGAAAAAAAAUUAAUUUUUCCUCGGCUUUUAAUUAAGUAGGAAGAUAUAUGUAUGUACUAUUAGUUAAAAUAAUUAUAUAAAUUAUCUAGUUAAGAUACACUAUUACCUAUGGGCUGUUUUGUGGUUUGGGAAUGUUUUGAUUGUUGGUCCGGGAUGGAGGGUAUGAGGGAGGUGAUGGAAGUCGUUGCAAGUAAGGAGUUUAGGUGGUGUCUUUUGUUGCUCCUAAGGAGCUGGAGAUGAGUUACUGGGAGGUGGGGUGAUAGUGGGAGGGUAUGAGGGGUGGGAGGAGGAAGGAGUAUUGCGCAUAAUUUUUCAUGGAGGAUGGUUGAGAUAUUUUGAUGAUGGGAUUUUAUGUGUUAUCCUUUUGAAGUACUCUUCAUGGUCUUUGAGCGAUUAAGGCCUUUAUCUUUAUCUUUGAGCGAUUGAGGAUAAAGCGAGCAUUUCUCAUGAUGAGAUUAUGUGGUUUGAGGAAUGGGGAAUGGAAUGGAAUUCUCAAGGCAACUGCAAAAGGUAAAAAGUAUCAAAUAUACGGCAUUUCCAGACUUCAUUCCAUUCACACGCACGUCCCCUUUUUCCUUUUUCUUUUCUUUUGUUACUUCUUUCUUUUCUAUUUUUUUUCUUAAUUGAUUGACUAAAAUUGUGACUAAUUUUCGUGGAUAAGACAGUAAAAAAUAUCUAUAUAACUUUCAGGGUUGCAUUUAUACACCGUAUGCUUAGAACCACACAAUAGACAACGUACGUAUAAUUAAUGACACCACCUACAGCAGAGAGAAAAUGAAGAGAUGGAAUAUAUUUUCUUUUAAUGCGUACGUGCCCACAGCCUAUUGUUCCACCUACCCACCACGUUAUCAAUGUUAAUUCUGUAGUGCGACUUGCUGAAUCCAAGCACAACGAAAGGUUCAAGGCGGUAAUGCACACUGAUUCCAUCGACUGCUAUUGUAGUUCCUUUUAUACAUUUUUUGGAAUAUCUUAACAUAUCUUUAAUCUAUUGCUAUAUUCAUAGUAGUUACCAUUUAUAUCCUAGUAUCAAACUCAUUGAGGAAAAUGUUGGUGAUUUAUUCUCUAUAAUCUGUCUUCCAAAACUUCUUAUUGGACAGAAAAACACUUUGGAGAAAGCCUAGUAAUCAAUUUGUUUUUAAAUUGAGUUCAUAAAAUUUCAAGUUAUCUUAGCUUGUGAGUUUGUUUUUAACAACAUGUGUUUUCAAAUUUGGAAUUUAAAUAAUGCAGUUCAAGUAGGAGAUUAUUACAGUUUUUCAAAAAAUACAGUGUAGACUUAAAUUUAUUUUGGUUUUUUUUUUAUAAAAAUUGGGUUAAGCUUAUGUGAUCUUGAUAAAGAGACAAUACUAUAAUUCCUAAUAUGAUCUAAUAAAGUGGAGUAGACUCCAAUGUUAAAUAUGAGCUUAAGAGUAUAGACCUGUGUAGAGAAGCUUAAAUUUUAUAAUGGGUAGGACUAAGGAUUUAUUAUAUAAAAGCAAAGCCUAGGUCCUCUCUCUUUCUACACCAAAAAUCUUAAGAUUCUUAUCCAUUCAAAAGUUAAUAGAUAAAAGGAGGAAGAUUUUAGUGCAUUGAUUCUCAACAAUUAAUUUAGUUAGUAGUAUUAGCAUUGUGAAAUUAUGUAUCACGAAUCAAAUACACUUUUAUGUUCUAAAUUUUGUUAUGGUAUGUUGUGAAUUAAUUAAAUUAAUUAUACUUCAAAUUUAACAUUACACACAAUGUGCAGAACCCGUAGAGGUACAAAGAAAUUUAAUAUAGGAUAUUGAAUAUGGAAAAAACCCACCAUGGUAUUUCCAUUUCACAAUGAUGUAUUUAUAGUACAAAGAUGAUAAGAUAAGAUACUUAUCAAAAUUCUAAUUGAGAAGAUAGUUAUCAAGAUUCUAGUUUAGAUAAAACAUAUCUCAUCUAUAGAUUUAAAUAUAUCAUCCUUAAUAUCUAUCUAUGUCAUCCUUUAUACUUGUCUCUUGUUCUUAAAUUGACCUUCAUUUGCAUGUGAUUGAAGAUUAAGCUUUAUCUGCAUGUUGAGCUAACUAUUGCUAUCUGUAACUCCAAUAUGCCCCCGUACGAUGGUGGUACCAUUAGCGAGUCCAAUCUUGGAUAGAAUGAACUAAAACCUCGCUUUGGUAGCAGUUUAGUAAGUGCAUAUGCUAAUUGAUGUUCUAUGGGAAUAUAGUUGACGUGAAGUUGCCCUUGUUUCACUUUUUCUUUGACCAAAAAAUUCUAAUUGCAAAUGUUUCAUCGUCAUAUGAAAGAUUGAGUUUUUGCAAGGGUGAGUGGCACUUAUGUUAUCACAGUACACAGUGGGACAACUAGGUAAGACUAUCUGAAGUUCUUGAACGAGAGACCGAAUCCAUGUUUCUUUUGAAAUAAUAGGCUCUGUAGAGGACUUAGUUACUGUCUUUUGUUUCUUUGAACUCUAAGAGAUUGAAGUCCUUCCAAGAUAUAUGAUAAAGACAAAAAUAGAGGUCUUAUCAUCAAGAUUUCCUAUCCAAUCAGAAUCUGUGAAGACUUGCAAAGAUAGAGUAGUUUUAUUUUUUUAAUGAAUAAACCAUAGAACAAGGUUCCUUUAAAGUAUCUUAGUACUUUCUUCAAUGCUUGAUAAUGCAGCGUUGAUUGUUUAUGCAUAAAUUGAGAGAGUUUGUUAACAGCAAAACAAAUAUCAAGUCUAGUAAGAACAAGAUAUUAGAGAGAACCAACAAUUUUCCCGAAUUCGUUGUCAUUGGUUGCUGCAGAACCAUCAUGUAAAUUGAGGUGAGCUAUAAUAAAGAUUGGUGUAUUUGAUUCUUUUGCACCUGACAUACCAAUUUUGAUUGGAAUAUUUGAGAUAUAUUUAUGUUGAGAUAGAAAAAAAACCUUUUGGUGUAGGAAAAACUUCAAUGCCAAGAAAGUAGCUUAGGAAACUAAGAUCUUUGAUUCAAAAUUGUGAUGAACGACUUUGAACAAACCUAGAGAGAAAUGUCUUGUUAUUUCUUGUCAGAAUCAAAUUAGUAACAUAGAUAAGUAGAUAUGCAGUUAUGUCAUUACAGUGAUAAAUGAAUAAGGAUGCAUUAGCUACUGAUUGAGUGAAGCUAGAUGAAAACAGAAAACUGCUUAAGACUUGGUACCACGCUUGAAGUGCCUGUUUAAAGCCAUAGAUCACCUUCUUAAGCUUGUAGACAAAAUAAGGCUUGGCCUUGUCAUACUAGACUAGGGAUUGCUUCAUGCAUAUCCCAUCUGUUAGUGUGCCUUGUAGGAAGGCAUUGUUUACAUCCAAUUGAUGCAAUGGCAAGCUAUUAGAGACUGCCAAGCAUAAAACCAACCUUAUGGUGACAAGCUAUUAAAGACUGCCAAGCAUAAAACCAACCUUAUGGUGACAAGUUUGACUACAAGAGUAAACGUUUCAUUGAAAUCAAAACCAAGCCUUUGGGUGAAUCCUUUUGCCACCAAUCUAGCACCAAUCUAGCACCAAUCUAGCUUUGUAUCUGGAAAUGGAAUCAUCGGAGUUCUUAUUUGUUAAGAGGUGGAACCAAUUCCCAUGUGUCAUUAUUUGUAAGGAUAGUAUAUUCAUCAAGCAUAGCUUGCUGCCAACGUCGAUAUCGGAUAGCUUGUGUAGCACGAGCUGGUUCAUGGGAUUCUAAAAGAGGAUAAAUGGUGGCUAGAUGAAGGGCAUUUAGGUUUAAAAAUAUUAUUUUGUGAUCUGAGUAACCAUAAGAUGUGUUCUUUGAGGUUGAGGUGGCACAAAAUCCUAUAGAUUUUGGUUAACAAUUGAAUCAGGAAGAGGGGAAGAGGUAAUUACAUGUGUGGAAAAACUAUCACGCACGUCAGCCACUUGCAGAGCUGAAUGAGAAGUGGGUCUGGAAGACAAAGUUGCAUUUGAGCAAGUGUUGCAUAGGUUGGAUCAAUUAUAGGUGUGUCACGAAUGACAUUGUGAGUAAGAAAUAUUAGAAACUAAAGUGUUGGAUGCAUACUUGGUAGCAAAUGAAAAUUAGAGUUCAUCAAACAAAAUAUGUCUUAAUGUGAAAAUUUUCUCAGAUUAAGGAUCAAGACAUAGGUAAGCACUUUGAUGCUUAUGGUAACUAAGAAACACACAAGCUAUAUAUUUUCUUUGAAGUUUAUGUGUGUUAUUAGGUUUAAUCCAUGGAUAACAUAAACAAUCAAAAAUUUUGAGUCUAGCAUGAUUAGGAUCCUAAUUAAAAAGUAAUUGAUAAGGACAGUUGUUUCUAAUGAAAGGAGAUGACAAUCUAUUUAAAAAAUAAAUUACAGUGGAAACAACAAAAGACCAAUAUGAUAAUGAUAUGGGUGAUGAAUGUAGUAAAGUAAGUAUAGUUUCAACAAUACAUCAAUGUCUACAUUAUUGCAUUGUGUUAAGGGGUAUAUGGAAGUCUCCGUAAAUGUUGUAUCCCAAAUGAACUGAAGAAAGAUUGUAAUUUUGUAAAUUCACCCCUACAAAUAGAAUAUAUUAUAAUAAUAGAAAUUUUAAAAUAACUUUCAACUAAACUCUUAAAUUUAGGAAAAAGAGAAAAUACAUUCAAAUUUAAAUUUCAGUGAAAAGAACUAGAUAUAUCUAGCAUAGUGAUCAAUAAAAGAGAUAUAAUAUUAGUAACCUUUAGUAGGCUCCCAAACAUCAGCAUAUAUGAUAUCUCAAGAGCCUCUACUAACUAAACUAGACUUAUGAAAAAGGAGGUGAAUUUUAUUACAGCAACAAGCAUCACUAGAAAUUCAAUCCAUGAUAUUGAAUAUGGAAGAAAACUGCCUUAGUAUUUUCAUUUCACAAUGAUGUCUUUAUAGUACACAGAUGAUAAGAUAAGAUAGUUAUCAAGAUUCUAAUUGAUAAGAUAAUUAUCAAAAUUUUAAUUUAGAUAAAACAUAUCUCAUCUAUAAAUUUAAACAUAUCAUUCUUAAUGAUUAUCUAUGUCAUUCCUUUAUGCUUGUCUCUUAUUUUUGGAUUGACCUUUGAUUGAGGAUUAAGUUUUAUCUUUAUGUUGAGUUCACUGUUGCUAUCUGUAACUCUAAUAAAAGAUAGAUUUCUCAAAUGAGGUGUGAUGGUACCAGCCUGGACCAUGCGAAAAAGAUUUAGAGCUGAGGCUCUAAGGUGCCUUUAUCCGCAAGUGAUACCUAUCCACUUACAAGCGGAGGAAGCAAUAGACCUUUGGUUGCUAAAAGAUUUUGAAGGUCAAAAGUUUCAUGCGAUUUGAUAGUCAAUUGGUCUGUGGUGAUGUUGGUGAUGCGCUUGACAAAGAAGUAACCAAAAUAUGAAAUAGAAGCACACAUCUAUAACAUAAGUAAAAGGAUUUCUCAAAGGGGCUUCCUCUUUUACCCAUGUGGAGGCAUAAGAAAAAGAGAAAAAGGAAAGAAAAGAGAGGUAGAAAGAGAAAAAAAAAACAGAUAAGGAUAAAAUGAGGUCCGUGUGCAACGCACUGGCCAUAGUCUAGUAUCCAUUAAAAGAAAAACUAUAAAAAAAGUUUGGAUGAAUCCGUAAAGAAACUAUGGCUUUCGAACUCCCAUCCGUAAAGCAAAUAUUGUUGACCACUCAAAAUUCACAUUAUCAUCACCUAUUCACACGACAAUUAGUAUGGCGCUUGGCUCUACAUGUGCCAAUGUUUAAGCCCAUUUAAUUUCACUUUAUUAUUAAACUAUAAAAAAUAUUUUUAUACUACUAUUUUAAUAGUUUUAAAUAAAUUUUAAAAUUAAAAUUAAAUAAAAAAUAACUCUCAUUGUAAUGAUAUCUUGGAUGGAGUUUAAACAUUAUAAAUCUUGUCCAAGACUUGACCUGAGUCAAGUCAAGCCUGCAAAUGUGAUUGAACAUCUAAAUAUUACAUUUGUGUAUGCGUAUGUGUGUGAGAUAGUAAGAUAGAAAAACAUGCCAAGAGAAAUCAUUCCUAAAAUUAAUUUGUGACUCUUGCACUUGUUAAAAGCUCCAUCUGAGUAUUUUGUAUAGAGUCAAAAAAUUAAAAUAAAAAAAAACUUUAUUUGUAUUAAUAUUUGGAAAACUAGAAACCAUAUUCUUUUGUCCUUUAUUAUUUAAAUUCUUUUUUAAAAAAGUAAAAUUUUUAAUAAGUUCAAAAGCUUGUAUGUUAUAACAACUCUUGAAUCUUGUAGAUCAAAUAUUUCUAAUAGCAUUGGAAGUCAAGCUAUAGAGAGAAAGAGAGUAGUACAAUUACAAAAAGACUUAACUACUCAAAACAAAAAAAGUGUUAUCAUGGAAAAAUCGAGCCCUUAACAAACUGAGGGCCUAUCUCAUUCAUCAAAUUAACAACAUAUUAACCUGAUGUCAAUACAUACAUAUAUCAAAACAAUAUGAAAACAAAACAAAAAAACAAUAUCACUCCAAAUUACACAAAAGAAAUUAUAACCCAAACAUACUGCCUUCACUUAAAGCAUCUAGUAAACGCUCCAUCCCAAAGUAAAAGCCUGUGGUUGACGUCCCUUAGCCUGAUCAUCUCAAUUCAGGAAUCGUUCACUAUCUCCAAAAGCCCUGGUUGCAUUCUUGCAUCCAUCUCCUAGCAGGCAGCCUGGUUCUAUUCCUUAAAACUUCUCCAUGCUAAACAUCUUGACAUGAACAAAACGCACAAAGCAGCUGUUUAAAAAUGCAACUCGACUCCUCUAUCCGCUGCUUCUAACUCCGUUAUGUCUUGAAUCACCUCCUCCUUGUUCAACUUUCUUUAAAAACAUGACUUUGAUUUUCUCCAACCUAGCAACAACUUCUUCCAUGUCAAUCCUCUCCUCCGGCAACUCUGCUGAACAUUCCAAGGCUAAUUGCAAAAUAGAGAAUAUACAAUCCUUUGUUGCUAAGAGUUCUAUUUCUCCGGUAUUUAGCAAAUCGUUGUCUACAACAUUAACUACGGCAGAUGGUAAUGACUCUUUCACCCAACACUUCAAGCUCAUUUCUUCUGUGAACAUUUCAUUUGUCGGCUUUUUUCUUGUGAAGGUUUCCAUUAGAAGAAUACCAAAACUAUACACAUCCCCUUUUGUAGAAACAAUUCCUUCUGAACCAUAUUCUAUAUAGAAAAUUAAUUUAAAUCAGUCAUCAAAAUGUAUAUUUGUUUUUGCAAAAUAAUGAAAAAUAAAUGCUUAAAAUUUAGUGAAGAAUUUGAAGACUACAUAUGUAAGUGCAUGUUCAUGUAAGCAUAUAUGAGUAGAAAUAUCAUCUAAGAUUGCCAAUAAUAAUAUAAAACCAUCACUCUUCAAAAAAUGUAUAUAUAUAAAACCAUCACCUGGUGACAUGUAUCCAAUAGUUGCUAGCGUCAUGGUUUGCUUCAUUAAAUCCUCUCCACCUAAGAGUUUUGCUAUGCCAAAAUCACCCAGAUGCGCAGUCAUAUCUUUAUCAAGCAGGACAUUGUUGGGCUUCAAAUCACAGUGAACCACGGCUGGGGUAUGACCAUGAUGGAGAUACUCCAAUGCGGAUGCGAUGUCUAUCAUUAUAUUCAACCUUUGUGAAAUAUCCAGAAAAAGGUUGUGAGAAUAGAGCCAGUUCUCCAAGUUUCCAUUAGGCAUGAACUCAAGUACCAAGGCUUUAAAAUCAAUAUUAGAGCAACUACUGAUGAUUUUGACCAAAUUUCGAUGACGAAUGUUGCGAAGGACCUCACACUCAACAUCAAAGCUCUUAAGAGCUCUAUCUACAUUUACCUUGAAGACUUUUACUGCAAUGUUCAUCCCAUUUGAAAGAGUCCCUUCGUAUACUGACCCAAAACUCCCUUCCCCUAGUAAUUUGCUCUCAGAAAAUCGAUCUGUAGCUUGAUCGAGCUCAUGGUAAGAAAUUCUUCUCCAUUCAGUUGAUGGUAGCAUAUUUUCUUGAUCAGUUGUCACUUCAGCUUUCCUGUUUCGACUCCGCAAACAAAUGAUAACCACGGCCAAUAUUAAUAUUGCUAAGCCAACUGCUGGUAGAAUAUAUUUUAAAAGCUCAGUACCCUUGGACCUUCGAGAGGGAUCAGAUUUGCAUGGUUGGACUUCAAAUCGAGGUGAACCACACAGGGCUUCAUUUCCCAUAAAUGAUUGACUCGAGUAGUUUACAAAUGAUCCUCCAUUAGGAAUUUCUCCUUGUAGUCUAUUGAAAGAGACAUUCAAAUAUUUGAGAUGUGAGAGUUGUUCUAACGACUUGGGGAUCGUUCCUGAGAGGUUAUUUCUUGACAAAUCUAAGAAUUCCAAACUUAUCAAAUCAUCGAAAGACUGAGGAAUAGAACCUUGUAACAUGUUACCAGAGAAGGAGAGAUGAGUUAGGUCUAUGAGGUCACCAAUGCUGCUCGGGAUAGCACCUGAAAACUGAUUAUCUGACAAAUUCAAAUUAGUCACGGACUUCCACUUUCCAAUAUCAAUUGGGAGAGAGCCGCUUAGAGAAUUGGAAGACAAUUCUAGGAACAAUAUACUAUCAAGCCUUGUCAAGGUUGAUGGGAUAGAGGCAAAAUUAUUGGAGCCCAAGAAAAGAUUUCUUAGAGAAACGACAUCGCCUAAGCAUGCUGGUAUUGGUCCAGAUAGUCUGUUCCCUGUCAGAGUUAAAUAAGUCAACCUCUGCAAAUGACAUAACUCAGAUGGAAUGAAUCCUUCUAGCUUAUUGUUCCCAAUAUUAACAUCUUGCAACUCUGUCAAUCUUCCAAGUGUAGUAGGUAUUGUUCCCGUCAAGUUAUUGUGGUCAAGACCUAACCAUAGCAACUUGCUUAAAUUACCAAUUUCACUUGGUAUGUUGCCCUUGAUGUUGCUAUGAGAUCCAUAGAAAAGUGUUAGAGAAGAUGAUAAAUUUCCUACAGAAAUUGGAAGUUCACCAUUAAUCAGUGGAUUAUCAUCAAAUAUCAAUACUUCCAAGUCUUUGCAAUUGGUCAAUGAUGAGAGAAAGCUCAAUUCUGGGGAUGAAGGUUCGCUACUGAAAUUGUUAUGACCAAGAUCGAGCUCUUGUAAAUAUCUUAGAUUGCCAAGGUUGUCAGGCAGAGAUCCAGAAAAUGAAUUAUUGGACAAUUGAAGAUAAAUGAGCUGAGAGGCAUUGGUAAUAGAGACCGGAAUUGGCCCACUCAGUUCAUUUAAUCCAAGAUAAAGACCUUGCAGUUUUGGAAGUCCAAGGCCUAUGGUUGAUGGAAGCUGGCCUGAGAAGCGAUUCAAUCCAAGCCAAAUGGCCCUUGCAGUUGAGAUGUUAAAGAUUGAAGGAGGGACGUUACCAGUGAAACUGUUAUUUCCCAAGAAUAAGAUUUCUAGGCUCUGUAGGUUACCAAUCUUGAGUGGAAGUGUACCUGCCAUAUUCAAUUUGUUCACAGCCGCCUUAUAUAUUUUUCAAUAUAAACAAUAAAAAAAAUUUCAAAGAAUAUGUAAUCAAAGCAAACAACCUGAUUAGCCCAUUAAGGUUUCUAUCCUUCUAUUUGGGCCACCACUGUUAAAAUAAUUUCGCUGUCAUGAAAAUUUUUUAAUUAAUUAUUUGCCCUAAUUUGAUGUCUUGAGCUUACAACUAACGUAGUUGGAAUUUUGUCUAUUAAUGUCAUUUUAAUCAAAGCCUUUUAUCUUUGAUGAGGUGGCCUUCAAUUAAGAAUUGUCCUCACUUGGAACAACUUUAAUAGUGGGGACAAAUUUAAUAGUAAAUGAAUGUAUGCAUUGAUGCAUUGAUGAUUGUGUACCAAGUUAUAAAUAUAUAAUAAAUUAACUUAGCAUAAAAUAACAUAGAGAGAUAUUGUACCUGACAAGCUGUUAGAGGAAAAAUCAAGGUUUUUAAGAAGUGUCAAAUUCCCAAUACUUGACGGAAUAGGCCCUGCUAAGUUGUUUUCCGAAAGGCUAAGCGUCUCUAAGUUUAUAAGAGAACCAAUCUGCCAUGGGAUUUGACCUGUAAAAUAUAAUUAACCUCUUCAUUAAAUUUAAAAAGGAAAAAUACUGACAUUCAUUAAUUGAAUUUAUUAUCUCAUCUUAAGUAUAUAAUUAGAUGAAAAUAAGAGUUCAGUGAUUUGAUUAAAUCAGACAAAUGUACAAUAGCUUAAGGCCGGGGAACAUAUUAAAAAUUCAUUGUAUAUAACAUUGACUUCCAAAAAGGCCUACGCCUAUAAAUCACAGACGUAUACAUAUAACAUUGACUUCCAAAAUGCAUUUUUCUAGUGAAAACAAAAUUGCGAAAUCUAUUUUGUAAGAAGAUAAAUCUAUUUAUACUAUUUUUAAAGCCAAUUAUAAAUUGAGAGAGUGUAAUGAGUUAACUAGAUACCAACUCAUUUAAUGAGUUGACAAAAAAAUUAUUAAAAGCUCAUUAAAAGUAUAAAAUUGAAAGGAUAUAUAUCUUUUCAUUUCCUCUUACAAAUCAGCUAGUUCUUUUUAUCAGACAUGCAUUAAAAAAACACCCUCUAUUUCAUUACUAUUUUCAUUUUUCAAAAUAGAACUUCAACUUUUUUCAUUACUAUUUUUUUAAUUAUAUUUUGUAGGUGUGUGCUAAUACAAUAGGAGCUGUAGGUUUUUAUAACUGCUGCUUCAUAAACUUUUUUUACUGCAUGGAUAAACAGAAAAUAGAAGUACAACCCAAAUGUCAAGAAACAUUAUUAUGUGGCGUAUAAUAUUAAAAAGAAAAACUAUCUUAAGAAUAUAUAGGUGCUUACCUCUGAGGUUGUUUGCACCGAGUUGCAAUUUCCUAAGCAUGGUCAAAUUUCCUAUUUCCAUAGGCAAACUCCCCUCAAAAUGAUUAUUAGAUAAGGAUAACUCUGUUAACUCUUUGCACUUGAAUAAACUUGUUGGAAUUCUGCCCGAAAGCAGGUUCUCACUUAAAUAAAACCCUUGCAGAUUAGGAAGUUUAUCGAACAUAUCUGACAGGAGACUACCACUGAGAGCAUUAGUGGUGAAAUCAAUGAUUUGUAGUGAAGAAAUGUUGAGUGGAAUGGAAGGUAUCAAACCAGAGAGUUUGUUGUUGCUAAGAUCAAUUAUUUGCAAUGAAGAUAAGUUGAAGAUUGAGGGAGGUAUAGAACCUGAAAGCUGAUUAGUAUCCAAAUAGAAUGUUUUUAAGGCAGAAAGAUUUCCUAUCUCGACAGGAAUCUGCCCUUGCAGAUUAUUUUUAUCCAACCUCAAGAUCUCUAGCUUCGGCAAAUAGCACAAAGAUGAUGGGAUUAUACCCGUGAAGUUGUUACCAUGCAGAAAUAAGCUUUGAAGUUGAACGAAGGAACCAAACCAUGCUGGGAUAUCUCCACUGAUGCUGUUGUUGCCGAAGUUUAUAAAGUUCAACAGAUGCAAAUUAGCCAAUUGGUGGGGUAAGGAACCAUGAAAACUAUUGUUUCCAAUGUUAAGCCUGGAGAGGAAAGAUAGAUUUCCCAAGUGAGGUGGGAUGGUGCCUACCAGACUCAUACCAAAAAGAUUCAGAGCUGUGACCCUGAGCUGCUGAGAUCCGCAAUUGACACCAAUCCAGUUGCAAACCGAGGUUGCGCUAGACCAAUUUGUUGCCAAAAGAUUCUGAGGGUCAAAAGUUACAUGAGAUUUCAAUGCAAGAAGAGCCAAUUGGUCUGUGGUGAUGUUAAGUGAUUCCAUAGACACAAAAGUUACAAAAUUAUGAUACAAAAGCACGACAAUGAGAGGGAGUAAGAAGCGAGUAUUUCCCAUGAGGAAUAUGAAAUGGAACUGGUGAGACAACUGUGCUUGGUCAUGAACUCUUUAAAUACAUGCGAAGUCAGCCGCCAAGAGAUCGUUUUCCAUAUGUCUACUGUAUAGCCCAACAAAUAUGACUUUGACAUCCCGAUUUAGUUCUCCUUUUUUAGCCUAGCUUUAAAUACUCAUCCUGCAUAAAUGGAAAGAUAUAUAUGGAUCUAAAGACUGUGUCAGCUAAGGCAUAUCCAACUUGUUGUCCAUCGACGUUCCUUUCUAUUGUGACUUUUAUUGCACUCGCAUUAACGUGUACUGAAUUAGUUGCAUUUAAAUACCGUGUGUAUCCUUUAUACACAUUGAUACCUACGGUUCCACACAACAAACAAUACUAUAUACAUAUUCAAACACCAUAUGCACGCUUUAUAUAUAAAUAUUUAUAUCUACGGUUUCACACAAUAAACCUAUAUUGGAUAGUUGGAUUCAAAUGCCAUGUGUCAUUUUUGUUGAAUACAAGGUUGGUCUCUCUGUGAUCUCCAAGAUUUAAUCCUUAUACCACAAUUUAAUGAAAUUUAAUCUCUACAUUUUCAUUAAAUAUAAGAUUGAAUAUAAUCGUUAACAGUGUGAAUUUCUAAUGGUAAAAUUUGUUGACAUGAUAUUCUUUUAGCCACAUGAACUUUAUUGGCCUGUCUUCACUAUGUUCUAAACAAUUAUGACUUUUUCUUUGUUGAUUAUAUUCAUCUUGCAACAGCAGUUGUUGAGGCUUGAGCCAUCAACUCAGUCGACUCUGUAUACUCAGCCAUCAGGUUCUAGAUCUACUAGUGAAUGACCCUAAAUCUGUUCGAUUUAAUGCCAAGUAGAACUUGCUAAUCAAACAAUGAGAAAAUAGAUUCCAAGAGAAACUUACAGAUGAAACAAAGAAGAGAGGAAGCAGGAAAUCCAGAAACCUUUUUAUGAGCUAGCUGUGCCUAUUCUCUGCAGAAACCCUCGACCCGCUCUGAUACCAUGACAAAAUUGAUGAGGCAGGCGGCGCAGAGGCACAAACAAAAAUGGGAGAAUGUCAGAUGCAUUUCUCAUCACAGAAAAAUCAGGGUACAGUGAGUUUUAUAUACAGCCCUGUAACUAAUCAGGGAAUAAAAGGAAGAAAAGCAAUUAACUAAUCUGUGUCAACUAACUAACUAACAUUUAAAAAUAGUGAGUAAAGGUAACUCUUUAACAGUAACUUGUGGUAAGACUAGUAAAUAGCAAAACGUUGCGUUUUGCUUCUCUCAUUUAUUUCUUCUUGAUAUGGUGCAUUUGACUCUACCUUCUUUGCCCAUCCAUUUGCAAAUUCGAGUCUCUGUCUCCUUCUUUUCUGUUUAUUCUCUUGAGCUUAUUUAUUCACAUUGUUCAGCUAAUGUAAUAAUUUAUAAUUAAAACUAAAACCCUGAUUAAAAAAUAUGUUAUCAGUCGAAAGACAAUUCUAAAAUUUAACGUGCGUACAAAAUAAGUAAUUAAUUGACCAAAAAUUAAGCAAGUGUCAUGUCUUGUGAUAAAACGAUUGUCUCGUCACUCAAUUUAAUAAUUAGAUAUUCACAUUAUUAUCAAUUGUUUUUAAUCCAAUAUUUGAUAAUAGUACAAAGAUUAAAUUCAUUGAAAUUGUGAUGAAAAGAUUAAAUUUUUAAAAUUAAGAUAAUACAAAGAUCAAUCUUCAACUUUGAUCUAGAUUUUUUCAGAUUUAAAGGAGGUGAAAUUGACAUAAUUUUAGCCCAUUUCUCAUAUAAACCUUUAUAGCACGUGACAAAUGUCCUAUAGCGCUAAUACACUUUUUUUUUUUUCUGAAAGUUCUAUAGCUAUUAUAUUCUAACUUUUCAAUUCCAUUUUCUGUGGUCCAAUGUGACGUUUUUCUAGCUUAACAAAUAGCAACUACUACGACUUGGGGAUGGUUUUUGCUAACCUUUUCCAUGUGAGUGUCUUUAUACAGGCAUCUGAUCUGUUUGGUCAAAAGAUGUAGGAGUGUCUUCUAGCGUUGCCGUUUGUUCUUUCAUGAGGCUUCUUUGUUCUCAAAGUUUUGGAUUCUGCUACCGGAAGUGUGUUUUAUGAGCCGGUGCCUGGAUGCCCGUUGAGUAGGUGGAAUCAUUGAAGGGUUGUUUGGAUGUCGUCAUGCUGCUAAUUUGAUGUUUGGUUUUCAAUUGGUAUAUUUUGUGUUUAGGGUCUGCUGUUGCCCUUUUGUGAGUCUUUCUAAUUAGGAUAUGUGAAAUGGAGCUCUGUGUUGUUAGUUCAGAGGAUCUAUUCUAUAUAUGAAGUCUAGUCUUUUGUAUUUGCACGACCAAAUGCUUUUUGUGUAGCUUAAUCAUGUUGCUAUUGUACACGAGCUCCUUAAACACCGUUCUUCACUAAAUUGAAUUUUAUUCAUAAAAUUAUCAUGCCUGCAAACUAAACAUUUUGCUAGUCCUUGAACAAAAGAAAAGAAAAUAAGGAAAACAAAGAAAAUUAAUGAGAAACUUUUCAAGAGAUAAAAAUUCACCAAGUCAUGCUUUCUCAAUUUUUUCUUAAAAAUUAUCCCACAAUUUCAACUUAAGGUAAAAUACAUUUAAUCUUCAAAUACAUGCAUCAAAUCAAAUGAAAGCUCACUUUCAAAUGGACUUCCUCUGUAUGUGUGAAUAAUCUCUUACAAAAAAUAUUAUGCAAUUUGGAUUGAUGCAUGCUAAUUCUAAGCAUAGAUUAAUAAUAGAAUCCCAUAAGUUUGCUUUUCAUUGCUCUCUCUACUAAUGUAAACUAACACUUAUUCAAGAAUCAAUAGGUCUUUUAUUGAGCUUAUAAUGUAAGGCUAGGGUCAAGGUAUGAUCAAGGAUAUAUCUAAGCUCAAAUUCACCCUAAACACAUAAUCAAUCUAAAACAUAUGUAAAGCUAAAAAAAAAAAAAUUCUUCCUCACAGCACCCCCAAACUUAAAAUAAACUUUUCUUUUGUACAACACACUUUAUUUCUUUUUCUUUUCUCUUCUUUUUUUCACCCCUAAAUUUGUUUUUGACAAUUAUGAACAAGAGGUAGAUUUCUAGCACCAAGCACUUUUUUUCAUCAAUUCAUUUGUCUCCCUUAAUUUAACUCUAAGCUCAAGGUACUUUCUAGAAAGAUCAAAAUACUUAGGGGUAAAAGGUUCAAAAUUGGCAAUAUAUAAAAAGGCUUAGGCUAACAUAAAUAUGUGUUUACAGAGAAACAGAAAGUUAGGCCCAAAAGGGGUUAUUAGGGAUAAAAUUAUAUAACAAAGUAAGCUGGAAUAGGUUCAAACGGUUCAAAGAUAGCAUAUAUCAUCUCUUAUCCUAAGUCUUAUCUAAGAUUUCGCUUCAAUAGAAAAUCAAACAAAUUCUAGAAUCCUUGACUUCACUACACUUUUAUUUACAUAAACUUUUCUAAAUUACAUGACAAUUCUAGGUAAAAGAAUAUAGUGCUCAAAUUAUUGAAAGUCAUAUUAUAUAAUGAAGCUAUCGCAAGAAUAUCAACACAAAACUUAAAUCAUACCCAUAUUCUUCCCAAAUCCUAAAAUCAUAAAAUAAUCAAAAUAUCAUCCUAGAAUAUGGAAAAUCAUAAACAAGAUGUCAAAACAUCUCAAUUUUCUUUAUGUUAAUAAAUUUUUUUAAAAUACAGAAGCUAAAAAUUAAAGCUAACAAAACAUGCAAAACAAAAGAUAAAUUUAGAACAAAUAAAAUAAAGAUAAGAAAAUAAAAAUAAAUAAAGACACACAAAUAGAAGUAAAUAAAGGCACACAAUAAAAUCUAAAGACAUCUCUCAACUUAAAACUAAACAUUGUUCCCAAUGUUUAAGGGAAAAGAAAUAAAAAUAAAAUAAAGAGAAAAGAAAAUGAAAACCCCCCUAUCAGUGAAGCCACAAAAAGGAGAAUAUUUAAACAUCCUCAUCAUCAUCAUUAUCAUUAGCUCUAGUAGUAAUGGUGGGACAUUUGGCAAGACAGGAAAAGUAGCCAUAUACAUGCCUACAUGUUCUACGUAAGCUUUCAUCAUAUGCUCAAUAACGCGAAUGCACUGUGCUUGAUGGUCCAUGCGAGUCUCAAAUCUUUCCAUUCUCUGCACCAUGGACAAAAUCUAAAAACGUGGUGCUCGAGUCCUCACAGCUAAUGAACUACCUCCAACAGUCGAUGACUCUUGUUGCAUAAAUUUUUCCAUUAUUCCAUCAUUAAUCGAACCCUUAGGAUAGAGCAACUCUUCCCUAAAUUGCCAUUCCACACCAACUCUUUUACACAACUUAGUGAUCAAAGAGGGAAACUAGAUAUCCUCACAAAGUGUAUUAGCAAAUCUAAGUAUGGUGAGGUAGAUCAAUCGACCAAUAUUAAUUGCGUUAGUAGUCAAAAAACAAUAAAAGCAACAAAGUUUUCCUUAGUAAUACCACUCACAAACUUCAUCGAAAGCAAACCUAACAAUAAUAAAAUAGAACCAACACUUGUACGCACCAUGAAGUUGGCUACUCUUAAAGGAAACAAGUAACGCUUUAAACAUCUUCCACUCCCCAUUACCCUUAAACAAGUAAUUAAUAACCUCUUCAUAAUCCAGCUCCCAAGUAAAAUAUUCAUCAUUCACAGUCUCAAGAAUCUCAAAAUAAUCAUUAAUAGUAUCAACAGUAAAUGGCACAAAUUUACCACAAACAAAAAUAGAUCCAUUAUUAUGCUCAUUUGCAUUAGCAUAAAAUUCUCCAACUAUGGGCAUCACAACUGCAAAAGACUAUUUACAAAAUAUGGUCCAUUGCCUAGCAAGAAUAAUUGCAUGAACAUCUAGAAACCAACCUUCACUAACAUGAAAUCCCUUUUCAGGCACCGAGGUUUUAUAAACUACCUCCUCAAUUUUUUUUUUUGAAAAGCGAAUUUAUUAAGCUCACCACCGGUAUGUCAUUACAAGUCUAUAGCCUUGUCAACUAAAGACCCUUAUAACAUAGAAGACUAGUUUAAGAGUAGGAAAAUUGUACAAUUACCAUAGGCAGCCUCUCAACAAGCUUUUGUCGGUUUUAACGAUCCCAAAUUACACCAAAAAGAACAAAUAAUAACAAAAGCCCUAGAACACAAAGAUGGGCAUAAAGGGUCAAACAGAAGUGCCUACAACAUAGGUUGCAAACCAACAAAAAAGCAACCCAUCAAACAAUGACAAGUAGCCCAAACCACACUCGGUAGCUAAGUGAACCUACAAGGAAAAUUUAAUGAAGUGGCACUUAAAGAGAAUGACUCCUUCAAAACAUUGGUGUCAACAAAAGAGCCCAGUCAGCCUUUCACGCAUAAUUCCAUAAGUAGCAUAAGGAAAAAAACCAUCAUACCACUACUGUUACCAAGAUCAACCAAAAAGAACUCGCACAAGUUAAGAAGCACUCUCAUGAAACAAACCGCAACCACAAAGCCAAAAAGAGCAACAACAAAACCAACUUACAUAUCUGAGCCUUCCAAAACAAAUCAACUAGGAAGUCACCUUGCUCAUCCAAGCACAAUAGAGAAUCAAAAUUCCAUGACCAGUUGGAUGCCUUAAGUAAAAAUUUGUCUCUUCCCCGUCAUCUGUAGCUCCCUACUAUUGUUCCUUUCUUGGCUUGGGCUUCUACCACUACCUUCCUUACCAUGUCUACCAGCAACUUAUCUUCGUCUUCCUCACAAGUGAAACCCAAUUUCUUCCCAAUGGACAAAUCAACCUCCAUAUCUAUCAUUAGGACUUCAUUCUUAUUCUUAAAAUCCCUAUCUGAUAAAGAUUUGUUGAAAUUUUCUCAUCUUUUCUUCUGUUAUUCCCUUUAUUUGAUUUUUUUUCUCUUUCUUUUUGAGUCUAUCUUACUUCACUCCCUUACUCCUCACUAGUUGAUCAUCAACCUCCUCAUACCAUUUCCAUCUUAUGAACUUUCUCGAUCUUUCCAAGCCUAUAUUACUUUUAUUUUUCCUUUUCUCUUCUCCAUCAUACACCAUUUUUUCCUUUGUAUUAAACUGCCCAUCCUAUAGGAAGUUUUUGUCUUUUCUUGCCCUAAUUUUCCUCUCCCAAAUUCUACUCCCUAUCCUCUAAGCUUUUUGUCUGCUAAUUACUUCUAAGCUUGAUAAGUUUCCAUUCUACUUGUCAACCUCUUUUGGUCCAAUAUCAAUUUUUUUCUUUUGCAUAAUAUCACCAUUAAGCUUGCAAUUGGACAAAUAAUUUGAUAAAUUAGUUGAGUUCUCUCCCAAUAGCUUGUCAAUAUCUUCAUCAUCUAUAGGGCCUUCCUUAACCUUACCCACCCUUUGUCCAUUUGCUCCAUUAAUCACUUCUGGGCUUCCUAUCAUUUUUACUUCUUUUGGGCUUACCAUUUUCCUACUCCUCCCUUUUCCAUCAUUCACAUCAUCUAUCUCUUUCAAGCUUUUAUCUGAAUUAUGUCCUUUAUGUUUCUCACCAUUCCCAUUUGUUUCCAAUCCCACGUCUUUUCCCUGAAUUUUUCUUUCUUCUUUUUACCACCCCUCUUCCAUCAUCUUUUCGUAUAUUGAGCUUUGAACCCCUACCCCCUCUUUCAUACUUUUCUCUUGAUUUGAUAUUGUAGCUUUCCCACUCCCUUUUAUCAUUUUCCUAUUUUGUACUUCAUCUUGUUGACCAUCAUCUUCCUCUCAUAUACCGUUUUUACUUUUAUUCAAAAUCUUUCCUGUUUCACUCUUCUGGUUUAGCUUUUUCUCCUUACAUCUAAUCUCCUUUGUCAUAUUUGUGUUAACUUCCCUUUCCCCUUAGAUUGAAUAAACCUUUUCUCGUACUUCCUUAGCCUAAAGCAUGUUGUCAUGUCUCUUUUCUAGAUCCACGUGCCUUUCUCCCUCGUUGCUUUCAUUGGAUUCUCUUCUCUCACGGUUGGACCACCAUGGCCUACUUGAAUUUUGAGAUGAGUCGCUUGAAUACUGUGCUUUCCUAAAUUCUUUUAGUUUUUUCAAACUCAAAUAUGGCUUUUUGUAGUGCAUUGAUAGAGAUUCACAUUACAAUCCUCGAUCUUUACUAAAUUUACCUUAAACACCUUUUCACCCACCUUCAAGUUCACAAUCUCUGCCAUUCUAGUAGGUUUUGUGGUAAUUAAUUGCAUCACCCCUUUUGUAAAUAACUAUGAUUUUAAUGUUUUUCCAUUCAUGCAUACAAAAUCCCCUAUUGUAUUUGCUAGAUUUUGGAACGUAAAAACGUUCCACACAUGAAAUGGAGCUCCAUGACAAGCCACCCAUAUUCUUCUGCUUUUUACUUUUAGUUCAUCAAACCAUUCUUCUAUUUCAUCAAACCAUUCCCUAACCAUACCCAACCCAAUCCUUGCAUAGCUUCAAAUGAAACCUUAUCAUGGAAACAUAUGAUAAAUUGUCUUCCACUCCAUCUUCUAACAUCAAUACCUAAACAUCCAUCCCUCAUUAUAUGUUCUACAACUAUUUCUGGUUUUGACUGGCUUUUGCAUAUUCCUACAACACUCUGUCUCAACCACUGUAAUUUGUCUUUCUCCACCAAGCCUUCACAUGCUAACUGUUCACCCUUCACAUCCUAUUUUUCUAUUAUUACAUUUUUUACUAUCUUUUUUCCUUCCUUAACUACCUUAGCAGAAGAUUUCUUCACUAUUUGAGCAGAUUCCCCCUUUAACUCCUCAUUUCUUUCCUCUUUCUUCUCCUCUCUUUGUCUCAUCACCUCAUUAUUUCCAUCAUUCCCUUUUAUUUGAUCAUACUUCUUUUUCCAAUAUGCAUCUCUCCCCUCAAAUCUAGCUAUAUUCAUUCCUAUCUUAUGAUCCAGCAACCAUGAUCCAUCCAUUUUCCAAAUCGCAUUAUUUACCGUUGCCAUGGAUCCAAAGCGUACAAAACCUAUUUUCAUGCCUACAUGUUUCUUUUCAAUAGUAUGAAGACAUCCACAACCUCUCCAUACCAUUGACAUAUUGCUCUUAACUCUAUCCACCCAACUUGUGGCGGUAAGUUGUUAACAAACACCGUCACUAUUUCUCCAUUACUUGCUCUUAUUAUUUGUGAAUUGAAAUCUCCAUCCUGAAUCCCCUGACUGCCAUACCUUCUUGCCUAAUAUGACAUAUCAUGCCUUGUUGUUGGAUUAACUCAAUGGAUCCAUUUUGCUAGCUCUAGCUCUCUUAGGUGCCAUAUUCAAUAAAUCAAACUCCACCUAAUAAACCAAAAAUCAAACUCUAAAUAAAUACCCCAACAAUUGGCCAUCAGGCACAAUCAACUCAAAUAGUAAAAAUCCCAUAAUCCAUAAUAGCACAAUGCAUAAUAUCUCAAAAAUGACUAGCAUAGGAAAGUUAACUUACUUGAAUAGAGAAGAUCAAUUGUUGAAUGAUUGAAGGUAGAGGGUGGUUUGAAUGAUGAUUUGAGUAAGAGUUUGUGGAGAGAAAGAAAAGAAAAAAAAAUUCUAAACAAAUAGUGAGUGUGUGGCUAAUGAAGAAGAUAGGGGGAGAAAGAUGUGGGUUAUAAAUUUUUUUUUUCAUUUUUUUUAUUAUCGGUUGGGCAUUAUGGCACUCUAACCGGGCACCGUAGUAUCGAAUGAACUGCUUUAACCAUCAUAAUGCUGAACUCGGAGCAUCGCAGUUUUCUUUCUCCUACUCCAUGGCAUUGAUGAUGUUCAGGAAUUGGCGAAACUCCAAACUCGGGAUGCUGUGGCUUCCUAUCUCUUACUCUGCAAGAUCAACACAUGAAAAGAGUCUAUAUAUUGGACUUCAACAUAGCAUUGUAAGAAAAAUAAUUAUUAAUGAUAUAGUCACCAUAAGUUAUGUGAAGUCUUGAAAAAACUUAGCAAAUCCGUUUAGCAAAGGUCUAAAAAAGGAAUUAGUAAUAAAGACCUCAAGAAAGAUAGGUCUCAAGCCUAUCAAUUAAAUCUCUAAUGGUGGGAGCUCACCUCAACACUUGUAAUCAACCUGUAAGUCUUAGGUACUGACCAUUCUACCACAUGGAUAAUUACAAGCAUUAAUUUAUAUUUUAUCUCAAGGUGUGUGGUGCUUGGUUCCCGUAAUGUGUAAAGUAAGGUUAAACAAAAGUUCUUAAUAGACCCAUAACAUGUAUAUAUUGAAGUUCUAUAAUUACGGGGUACUUUUAAUUGGGCUACCUAUUUGAGUGAAAGUGUAGUCGCUUGUAAAAGCUAAAGGCUUGACUCUGACAACACUCAUGAAUGAAUGCAAACACAAGGCCAUAAAAACCGUGUUGGCAAAACUAGAUACAAAUUGAGCAAGGAAGCUUAUGUUUGUUUAAUGGCUUAACUAAUCAAAUGAAGAAUUGAUGGUUCAAUACUUGAUUAACCACUCAAUUCAGACAAGAACCAACUACACUCACUAAGUGAAGGUUUAAAUCUAUGGGAUACCUUCAUUUAUGCACAAGAUUCUCAAAGUUGUUGGUAUUUAGAAAUUUUGAAAGUGAUUAGAUGUUGUUGGUGUAUUUUCAAAAUAAAAAAAAAUUAUCUCUUCAAAAUGAAAAGUUAUCUUUGAAGAAAAACUCAACAAGGAAGGUGAGAAGAUAGGAAGUAAAGAAAAUAAACAAAGAAGAAGGUUGGAAGUGCAAAUGAUGAAUUUGUUAGUUUUUCUCUUGAUGUUUGGUGCAGAGAAAGUCUAUCCUUUUAUAGAGUACAAGAGUUAUUUGUAUGGAAAGCUUUCAACGAUAUAGAGAUAAUUUGUGUUGAAUUUUAGCACAUCUAAACUAUGAUUUGGGACUGAUCUUUGUACAUGAUUUGGUGCUUUUUUUAGCACAUAUUGGCUAUUAUUUUGGGCUACUGCUUGUAUAUCUGUGAGGUGAUUUUGUGUUGAUUUUCAGCACAUGUGAGUUGAAACAGUAGUGUUGUUACUCUUUGCUUCAGAUGGUGAUCUACUUCUACACUCCCCUUUAAACUAGUCAUGGGAAGAUCCCACAAACCGAGUUUGAUACGAAUACCUUUAAAGAUAUUACGGGGCAAAGCUUUUGUGAAGAUGUCAGCUACUUGGUGAGUGGAAGGAACAAAUUGAGUGACAAGUGAGCCUAAUGCCACCUUUUCGCAGACAAAGUGAUAGUCAAUUUCAAUGUGUUUUGUUCGAGCAUGAAAGAUAAGAUUGAUGGUGAGAUGAAUGGUUAAUAAAUUAUCACAAAGAAGACAUGGUGGUUUGUCCAUGUAGAGGCCAAGGUCAUGAAGAACAUCAGAUAUCCAUGUAAACUCAGCUGCAGUGGAAGCUAAUGCACGGUACUCUGCUUCUGUACUAGAUCUCACAACAGUGGGCUGCUUCUUUGAGCUCCAAGAAAUACAAUUGCAUCGAGAAAAGUACAAUAGCCAGUGAUGGUGUCACGACCCAAAUUUUGGGCCAUGACUGACGCAUGGGCCCAAUGGACGUAAUCCACUAAACCCAAGCAAGCCUAUUAUUUAUCUUACUCAUAAUUCCAUCUAAUAUCGCUAAGUCGUAUUUUAUAACUUUGAAUCAAAAUAGUGAUAUACAUUGCCAACUCGUACUGGCAUUACUCAUUUAAAAUUUACAUACGAUGUCUACAACAUGUAUUCUAAUAAUUUACAUUAAGUUCGUCUAUACAAAACAAAAUAAUACUUGACUUCCAGCGGAGGGACUCGGAUGAAUAUACAACUACUGAAUGCCGUGACACCUACCAAAAAAUGGACAUAAAUCUACAAGGACACCGCGUCCUAGCUACCGGUUGCCUUGUGAUCAGAAAACAUGAAGUUUAAAAAAGGUGAGUAUAAACCCAGUGAGUGAACAAGAAAGGGAACAAGCAACAAUUAUGGAGAAUUUAAAAUCAUGAUGCACUUGUUUCAAAACAAUGCAAUUUAGUUCCAUUCAUAUUAAAAACCCCUCAUCAAACCCUUAAAUGAUUAAUCACUUGGUCAUGAGGAACCCAUACAUAACCAAUAAUUUGAAAAAUGAAAGUUUCAGUGAUACACCAACAAGUCAAAUUUGGGGACGAACCUUCGCUGUAGCAGGAAGGCAUUCUCGCUGCAGCGAGAAUGAAUUUUCGUUGCAGCGACGUUGGGAUUUAGUUAUUAGUCGAACGAGGGUUUCUCAACUGGUCGAGGGUUUCUCACUAAACCUCUUCAUUUUUAACUUAACUCAUUUAGUCCUUAAUGUUGGAAGUCCAUGCUCAGAUAUGGUAGCAAAUAAGUGAAAAAUAGGGCAACAAUUAGACAAGAUAGGAGACAAAACAGAAUUUUUUCACUGCAACGAAAUUGUAACCCAGAAUCAGAAAGUUUCUUACUGCAGCAAGAUUAAAUCUUGUUGCAGCAAAAUUACAACCCAGAAAACAGAAAGUUUCUCGCUGCAGCGAGAAGCUACAGUGUCAUUCUCGCUGCAGCGAAAAUUCAUCCUCGCUGCAGCGAGUUUUCAAUCAAUCUAUCCCUCCAAACCUGAGAGUUUCUCGCUGCAGCGAAAAUGAUUCUCGCUGCAGCAAGAAAUAGGGCACCAAUGAGAAACUUGCCCUUCUUACCAAAGAAAAACCACCCUGCAGAAAUGUCCAAACCAACAUGAAACGCAUAACAAUUUUCCACAGUUUAACAUGUCAAAUUUCACAAGCAAUUCAACCAUAUACCAUAAUAUGAACUUUCUAUAACUCACACAUUUACACAUACAUAUAUAUGUAUACGUAUACUCAUCAUCAUCAUGCACAAUAUCCCAUCAUCAUCAUCACCAGCUCAAGCACACUCCUUACUCGCACAUGGCUGGGUCAUCACCGGGUUAUGCGCAUUCCCUACUCGCACAUAGCCGAGUCAAUGUCAUUACACAAUAAUAUAUUCAUAUAUAUAUAUCAACACCAUGUGGUAAUGCAUGAAUCAAUAAUAGUCACAUGUCACAACAUAAACCAUUUCUCAAGAGCUUGUUCGUAAGGCACUCAUUUUCUAAGAAAAGUUAUAUAAAAUCAUUCAAACACUUUGUACAAAACAGUCACAAAUUCCAAAAUAGUUUUGAUAGGCAGUCCACUCACCGAUUUAUUGUUGAGCCUUUAGUUGACUAUAAUUCCCCUAAUGAUCUAAUUGGAAGGAUAGGACUCCAUUAGAACCUAGGAUCACAUUAGCAUAAACAAUAGGUCAAUUCACACACUAUGAACCCUAAAAGCUAUCUCUUAGCUAGCUUUCAAUUGCCACAUUAAAUGGCUAUCUAUGUUCACUAUCUUAAUCACUAAAAAGUAAUGAACAUACUCAACUCUUAAUCUAAAUUACUAGCCAUUAUUUACAGCUAAAAAAUUGAAUUUAAUUCAUCACUCACCCUUGGGUUUCUUUGUAGUUAAAUUCUCUUCCAAUAGCUUCCAAAUAAAUGGGAUAAUUCUCUUUUUCUCUCUCUAGAGCGCCCAACUAGUGAGAGUAAGUCUGGAAAUAAGCUUUAUCAAUAGUUUUGAAGUGAGAAAGUGAAAGAAUUAAAGAGUUCUAGCCAAAAAGGCUCAAAAGUAUGAAAACUAGAGCUAGAAAGAGAAAAUUAUGCAAGCUCCAUAUCAAGCUUCCAUGGAGUUUUGAAGAAACGUGAGAGAGGAGAAGAAGAAGAAGACAAGCUGCUGGAAAAUGGGAGAAGAAGCUGCUAGAAGGAAGAUAUUUAUAGCCAAUCUUAUCCAUUCCCUUAAAAUUACAAAAAUGCCCUUCCACCAAUUAACUUAUUCUCCUCCAAUCUUUUAUGCAAUCUUUUUUCUCUUUUAACACUGGGACAAGAUCCAUAAUGGUCUAGACAUGUUCGGGUUCAUAAAAACUUAAAAUUUUAACCUGAGGUAAAAAUUGACCAUUUUGCCCCUAUUAUGAAAAUUGUUGUCAUUUCUAAUUUUCUUCUUGUUUUCAUUAGUACACAUCAUUUAUGCAGUCUUAUGCCUAUUUAGGCCUUAAAAUAUCAUAAAACUUUCUUCUGGAAGCUUAUAAGAGAAAAUGACGAAACUACCCCUGGCUCGUAUUAUUACAUCUAUACUUAGUUACAAGCCUAUAGAGGUUGGGGUCUCACAAGUGGACCGUCGAGUAAGUGGACAUCCUACCCAAUCUGCGUUAGAAAAAGCAUAAAGCACUAAAGGAUUGUGAGAUAAAAGCUUAGUGCCAAAUGAGAUGGUUCCUUUAACAUAACGCAAGAUUCUUUUCACAAGUUGAAAAUGAUAUUUUGUAAGAGAAUGCAUAAAUUGAGAUACAUAAUUAACACUAAAGGUAAUAUCCAGUCAAGUGAAAGUUAAAUAUUGUAAACCACCAACAAUGCUUCGAUAAAAAUGCAAAUCUUUAAAAGGAUCACUAGAGCAAGGAUAAAGUUUAGCAAGCAUGGGAGUGGAUAUAGGUUUACAGUUUGACAUUUGAGCUUUUUCAAGAAGAUCAUAUGCAUAUUUAGGUUAAUUAAGAAGGAGGCCUUGAGAAAAAUGAUGAACUUCAAUGCCUAAGAAAUAAUGAAUGUGACCAAGGUUUUUCAUAGAAAAUUCAUUAUACAAAUCUUGAAUGAAAGCAUUUAAAGAAUGAUUAUCACUGCCAGUUAAUAGAAUGUCAUCAACAUAAACCAGUAAAUAAAUGGUGCUAUUAGAAUGAUGUCUAAUAAAAAGAAAAGAAUCAAUUAUAUUACAAGAAAAACCAAUGGAAAGAAGAAAGAGACUAAAACGAUUAAACCAGGCACGUGGGGAUUGACGAAGACCAUACAAAGCUUUUUUCAACUUGCAAGCAUAAUGAAUCUUACUGUGAUCUUAGAAACCAGGCAGUUACUCAAUGGAGACAGGUUCAGUCAGUUUACCAUGAAGAAAAGCAUUCUUGACAUCCAAUUGUUUAAUUUCCCAACUAUUGGCUAAUGCAAUGGUAAAAACAAUCCUUAUAGUGACAGGUUUGAUGACAAGAGCGUAGGUUUCAAAACGAUCUGAUCCUUGUGCUUGUGAAUAUUGUUUUGCAACCAAACGAGCUUUGACUCUUUUAAGUGAGCCAUUUGAUUUUAACUUGGUCUUGUAAACCCAUUUACUGCCAAUGACAUGCAUAUCAGAAGUUCUUGGAACCAACUCCCAAGUAUCAUUUUCUUCUAAUGUGGUGAUUUCUUCUUUCAUGGCUUGGAGCCAUCUAGGAUGUGGAAUUGUAGACUUGAUGGUUUUUGGUUCAAAGGGAAUAUGAGCUAGAAAGGUAGAGCCAUAUUUAGGAUUUGAUUUGACAAUUCCAUUCUUUGAUCUAUUUGUCAUGGUAUGGAGGUUUGGUUGAGUGGAGGAUGUAGAAGGAGACAGAGGUAAGGAAUUUUGUUCUGUCAAAGGAGACGGACAAGUUGUUGGAAGACUUUCACUAUCUGACAAAGGUGAUUCAAGUGGAGAGCUAAUGAGUUGAAUAGAUGGAUGUAGAGGUGUUUCUGAUUGAGAGUGAGAGAGCUGAGUUAUGGGGAAUGGUGUGAUGGAAGAAGGUGUAAUGGUGUUUGCAACACUUGAAGAGCUAGUUGCAAGUGUUGGAGUAAAUGGAGAAGGACCGUUAUCUUGUUCUGGUUCACUAAUAGUUGGUAAAAUCUGAAAAGCUGAUUAACUGGAUGUGUCAAGCAUCGAAUCUAAAGUCCCUGCAUACCAUUCACUAAAUGAAGUAAUCUCAUAGUUAGAACAAUGUGCAAUAGUUAAAAUAUUUUAUUGCUGAAAAGGAAAUGUUUCUUCAUCAAAUACUACAUGUCGAGAGAUGUAUGUGCGUUUGUAAGUGGAUAAUAACAUCUAUAACCUUUGUAUAUCUCACUAUACCCUAAAAAACACAAGGCAACGAUCUAGGAUCAAAUUUAGUCUUAUUGUAAGCCCUUAAGUAAGGAAAACAACGACAAUCGAAUGUUCUUAAAGUUAAGUAGUUAGGUUGUCGAUUAUGUAGGAGUUCAUAAAAGCUCUUCCAAUGCAAUAUCCUAGAAGGUUAUCGAUUGAUCAACCACACAACAGUUCUAAAUGCUUCGUUCCAUAGAUAUUUGGGAAUUCCAUUAUGGAACAUCAUCGUUAGCCCUAGUUCAGUGAUAUUCUUUUGCUUUCUUUCUGCAAUGCCAUUAUGUUUAGAAAUAGUAAGACAAGACAUUUGAUGUUUAAUGCCAUAUUUAGAAAAAUAAGCAUGAAAUUUGGUAUCAUUAAACUCACCUCCACCAUUGGAUUGAAAAACUUUAAGUUUUUUGGUAAAUUGAUUUUCAAUGUAUUAAUGGAAAUCAAUAAAGCACUGUAAGAAAUCAUAUUUAUAUUUCAAAGGAAAAUACCAGGUGAACCUUGUAUAUUCAUCAAUAAAAAUAACAUAGUAACUAAAUUUCUGAUGUGAUAAAAUUGAUGCUUUUCCCCAUCAAUCAUAAUGAAUAAUAAAGAGAGGUUCCUUAUAGACUUUCAUUCUGGUUAGAAAUGGUAACCUACAGGCCUUGGCCAUUUGACAGCUAGUGCAGGUGUGCUCCAUAUCACUGCACUUAUCCUUACUAAAAAUUAAAUUUUGUUUUCUCAAAGUGUCAAUUACACACAUGUGAGGGUGUCCUAGCCUUGCAUGCCAAACUUUAGCUGUUGCAAAUUGAAAUCUAUUGGAAAACAGUACUUCUUACGUUGAGCUCUUUCUUGAGUGUAAGGCAUAAAGUCUUCUUUUCCUAUUUCCUAUUGCUACAACUUGCUUUGUCUCCUUGUCCUUUAUCACAAAUCCAUUAUAUGAGAAUUUACAAGUAUAAAGAUAAUGAGUAAUUAAUUGGUUAAUCGAAAGUAAGUUUUUCUUAAUCUCAGGCACAACAAGAAUAUUGUCAAUGUCUAAGCUAGUAUUUAAUGGAAAGAAGAAAAAGAUUUAAGAAAUGGGAUGGGCAAUUAGAUUUUUUUUUGGUAAGGAAAAGAUUUUGUUUAAAAAACAAAGAAAUAUAAGAGAUAUCGACGUGAGAGAGUAAGAAAUAAAUAGAAAGAUAAGCAAGAGAGAUAAGUGGGAGAGAUAAACAGAAAUAAAAGGUAAGAAAAGGAGGAUUUUAAAAUACAAGAAAAGAUAAGAGAGAGAGAUAUCAAAAAGAGAGAUUUUUUUUUGCUUGGAGACUAUAUAUAUUAGAAAGAGAGAUAAACGGGAAAGAUAUAUUAGAAAGAAAUAUUGGGAAGAUCGAUGGAGAGAAAAGAGGGGUUACAUCAAAAAAAAAAAGAAAAGGAGUUGUGAUAAAAGAUUGAGUCAGAAAAAAAGAAGAAGAAAGAGUUGUGACAGAAGAAAAGUGUGGGCUAUUAAUUUGUGCUUAAUCACUCUAAUAGCAUGAAGAAAAACUCAAUAGGGAAGCUGAGGAGAUAGGAAGUGAAGAAAAUAAACGAAGAAGAAGGUAAGAAGUGCAAAUGAUGAAUUUGUUAGUUUUUCUCUUAAUGUUUGGUGCAGAGAAAGUCUUUGCUUUUAUAGAGUACAUGAAUUGUUUGUAUGGAAAGCUUUCAACUGUAUAGAGAUAAUUUGUGCUGAAUUUUAGCACAUGUAAACUAUGAUUUGGGCCUACUGUUUGUACAUGAUUUUGUGCUGAUUUUUAGCACAUAUAGGCUAUUAUUUUGGGUUGCUGCUUGUAUAUCUGUGAGGUGAUUUUGUGUUGAUUUUCAGCACAUGUGAGUUGUAAUGGUAGUGUUGUUACUCUUUGCUUUAGAUGGGUGAUCUACUCCUACAAUCUUUUCAUAUUAUGUCUUAUGAAUGAAUGGUUAUCAUUUCACAAGGUGAUUAUUGAAACAUACUUUUAUCUAAAAGUUGUGUCUUACAAAAUGCAAAGAUAUCUUACAAAGAGUUGCAUUUAUGAAAUGGUUGUUUCUUUGAGAAUAGACACUUGCAAGCUUAUAUAAAAGACUUGCGACUAACCAUUUUGAGACAUAAAAAAAAAAACAAACAAGAGCUAAAAUAUCUAGAGCAAGAAAAGUGUUAUGUUCCUAAAAUUAACAUAAACACUUAAGUUCCUAUCAACUACAAAAAGAGUCCAAAUUCCUUAUAAUCUAUUUGAUCUAGAAAAUAAAACUCUCAAGUGUAUCUAAUGGUAUUCUCUUGUAAAAUGCAAAACAAAGUUCGAUGUUAGCUUUAUUGUAUCCCAAAGGCUAUUCGCAUUAUUCCCUUUGUAUGCCAAGUGAUAGAAACGAAAUAGGUCUUCAAGAUAACGUCUAUUUAAAGGCUCGUCUUGAAGUCAAUUUUACCAGUUCUUUGAAUUUCAUCUAAAUCUAUUUGUACCAACACUAAGAUGACUUUUUCUUUAGGUUCCUUUUUGCUCGUGGAGUUGUACUACCAAUUCUUUUGUGGGCAGCUUUUUACAGGAUGCAAAUGUACAUUCUUCACCCAGCUAAGGCAAGUGUUAUGUGAUCAAAAGUCUUUAGUCAACGAAAGACUUAAGACUUGAAGUGGCUGGUUGAUGGCUGGCUUAAUAAAAUAACAUGACCUUUUAAAAAAAACUAUAUAUGGCAAGUACACAAGCUUGAAAAUGGAUCGAUUUGGGUAGGACCGAUCCAAGAAUAAAACACAAAAUUGUGAGCACUAACAGUCGCUUUGCCAUAUGAACAAAUCUCUACAGCCUGGCUGCGUGUACGCACUAAUGAUGUUUCUUAUUGACAAUAACAAACCCUGAAAUUCCUCAGAACAAGCAAUGAUAGUUCUCCAAAUUCCCCUUUAUUCCAUGGCAGAGAUAAGUAGUGAAGACGGAACUCUUUUUUUUUUUUUUUUCAGUUUUUCACGACAAAUUUCGUCAUGAUUGCAAUUCGGACUUCCUUUCCAUUCACGUUCCUUUUUUUCUUGGUCGAGAAAAAGAGUGACUUUUCUUGCAUUUGGACAAAUCUAUAUACUUGCAUUUAAAUGUCAUCUAUGCUUAUCUUUUUAUACACGGUUCCGCGCAAUGUAUAUAAAACAAAGAAAUUGGUGGAAUCAAUGCCAGACCCUACGGUAGAGAGCUAGAAAAACCAAAGAUGGAAGAUCGGUCUUCUUUUUUUUAUUUUGAGCAAUAAAACAUAAACAAUUGCCACUUCAUCGAACCCGUUCAAUGUCCUUUAAGAACUUGACUUUGAUCUUGCUUAGCUUCGUAGCAAUUUCCUUCAUAUCAAGCCUCUCGUCAGGUAACUCUGCUGAACACUUUAGGGGUAGUUGCAAAAUGGAUGAUGCACAAUUCUUUGCUGCAGGCCAUUCUUUCUCUGCAGUACUUAGCAAAUUGGUGUCUACAACUUCAACUAAGGUAGAUGAUAAUAACUCUUUAACCCAACUAUUCAAGCUCAUUUCUCCUAAAAACAUCUCAUCUAUAGGCUUCUUUUUUGUGAAAGUUUCCGUCAUAAGAAUACUGAAACUAUACACAUCACCUUUUGUAGAAACGAUUCCUUCUGUUCCAUACCCUGUAUAUAAAUUUAAAUACAUCAGCAAUAUUCAAAAUUGAUGUUUCAUGAUAAUGAAAAAAAAAUGCUACUAUAAACUAUCUAGAGAUUAUAUUUAUGCAUGUUCGACUAUGUGCACAAGUAGGAAUAAUAACUUGGAGUAUUAUUACAAGUAUUACCUGGUUCCAUAUAGCCAAUCGUUGCAAUGGUCAUGGUUUCUAUCAUUGAAUCCUCUUCACAUAAGAGUUUUGCAAUGCCAAAAUCACUCAAAUGUGCAACCAUGUCUUCAUCCAACAAAACGUUGCUGAGUUUUGAAUCGCAGUGAACCACAAGCAUUGUAUGACCAUGAUGGAGAUAUUCCAAUGCAGAUGCAACAUCUAUCAUUAUGUUCAACCUUUGCAGGAUAUCCAAAAAAUAGUUGUUGGAAUACAACCAUUUAUCAAGAAUCCCAUUAGGCAUGAACUCAAGUACUAAAGCUUUGAAAUCAAUAUUACAGCAGCUACUGAUGAUUUUCAUUAAAUUUCGAUGACGAAUGUUGCGGAGAACUUCACACUCAAUCUCAAAGCUCUUAAAGGCUCCUUCGAACUCUAACUUGAAAACUUUUACUGCAAAUCUCAUCCCAUCUGAGAGAGUCCCUUGGUAUACAGAACCAAAAUUCCCUUUACCAAGCAAUCUACUUUCACUGAAUCCAUUUGUAGCUUGAUUGAGCUCAUGGUAUGAAAUUCGUCUCCAUGUUCCUAAAGGUAACAAAUCUUCUUCAGUUGGCAAUUUUUCUUACCUCUUCCCACUUCGUAAGAAAAUGAUAAUUAAAGCCAAUACUAAAAUUGUGGAAGCAAUAGGCGCUAGUACGUAUGUUAUAAGCUUAGCAGCUGCCUUGGAAUUUCUAAGAGGUUUUUUGCAUCUUGGAACUUGAAGUUGAGUUGCACCACACAAAAUUCCCAAUUUCUACCGGUAAACUCCCCUUCAAUUGGUUAAAUGACAAAGAUAAACGUUUUAACUCUUUGCACUUGAAUAAACUGGCUGUAAUUCUACUAGAAAGCAGGUUAUAACUCAAGUAAAGCCCUUCUAAUUUAGGAAAAUGAUCAAACAUAUCCUUCGGAAUAUGACCAGUGAGAUUAUUAAGGUUGAAAUUGACGAUUUGCAGCGAAAGCAAGUUGCGUGGAAUGGAUGGCAUUGAACCAGAGAGCUGAUUACUGCUAAGAUCAAUUUUUUGCAAUGAAGAGAUAUUGAAGAUGGAGGAGGGGAUUGAACCUGAAAGCUGAUUUUUAAACAAGCUCAAGAUUUUUAGCUUUGACAAAUAGCAUAAAGAAAAUGGGACAACACCCUUGAAGCUGUUACGGUACAGAAACAAGCUCUGAAGUUCAGUUAUGGAAGUGCCAAACCAUGAUGGGAUUUCCCCAGUGAAACUGUUGUUACCGAAAUGUAUAUGUUUCAGUCAAUGCAAAUUGGAUAAUUGGAUUGGUAAUGUGCCAUGGAAACUAUUAUUUGAUAUGAAAAGCAAAGAAAGGAAUGAUAAAUUUCCUAUGUGGGGUGGGAGGGUGGCUAAGAGUCCCAAGCCAGAAAGAUCCGGAGCUGUGACUUUAUGGUGCUUGGAUCCGCAACUGACACCAAACCAAUUGCUAACAGAGGUAGAAGAAGACCAAUUGGUUGCCAAGAGAUUUAUAGGGUCAUGAGUAACAUGUUCUUUCAAUGCAAGAAAAGCUGAUUGGUCUGUAGCUAUGCUGGUUAAUUUCAUAGAGAAAGUAGCCAUAAAAAAAUGGAACAUAAUCCCAACAAGCACAGCCAGGAUGAGGCAAGUGUUUUCCAUUAGAUUUUGUGGGUUGAGUCACAAAAAAUUAAGGAACAACUGAGAGAGAUAAUUCAUUCUUUUAUAUAUAUUUUUUUGGGCUGAAAGAGGUGAAAUUGACAUCACUUUACAGCAGUCAUUUUCUUGUAUAAUGGCAUGUGACAAAAGCCCUGUAGCAAAUAUUCUGACUUUUCAAUUGCUUUUCUAUGGUCAAGUAACUUCGUUUUCUAGCUUGACAGACCGCAACUCCACAACUUGGAAUACUAUACCAUAUAUGGCAAGUGCAAGUUCUUCAAUAUGGAUAUGGGUAGGACCGGCGGAAGAAUAAAUCACAAAGUUGUGAGCAAUUGGCAGUCACGUCGCAAUAUGAACAACAAUACUUUCUAAACGAUUUCUACCUAUACAUAUAUAGAAUUUUCAUUUCUACUGGUAUUUCAUUGGCUGAAUUUUAUAUAGAACGAUGUUAAACCUGUAAAUUUUCUGCAAAUUGAUCACCUACACUUCAUUGAAUAACAGUUAGGAACCUCUUUCUGGAAGUUGAUGAUCAAGCUCCAAUAGCCAGUUACAAACUCUUGCAUUGAACUAUAACAACGAUUUCUUAUUUUCUAACUUGACAGAAACUAUGAAUAUUGGAAUACAUUUAAAGCUAUACUGCAAUACUGAUUUCUUUUUCUUUUUCUUUUUUUUUUAAAUUGCAAUACUUUUAAUUCUGAUAAAUACCACUUUUCUUUUUAAAGGGGAAAAUUUCCAGUCACUAACUUUUCAUGAUCGAUUUUCUGGCAUUUUUUUAACAUACCUUCAAACCCAUGUGCGGCUGCCUAACUUUCCAUGAUUUUGAUUUUUCUUUUUGGGUAUGGGACCAGGCGGCUAGACUUUGUCUGCAAUCUCAAGUCUCUAUGUUUGAGCAUAUAUAUCAACAUUGCACAAACAAUGAGGAGAAAGAGGGAGUUGGGGAGCAGGCCAUGAUUGUCAAAGCCAUAUAUAAAUAUUAAUUAAUUAAUCACCCAAAAGGCCAAAAGUUGAAUUCACUUUACACCCAAUAAUAGAUUGUAUUAGUGAAGAAGAAAUGAUGCAAUCUGACAACAGCCUGGAAAAAGAAUCACUUAAACAAGGAAAAUUUUACAGAGCCAAAUCCUGUACUGUCUAUACAGCAUACCCAACACACAUGCAAAAACCAUAAACCACCCUGUUUUCUUUUUUUCAUCUUAACAGGAAUUUCCUGCAUUUUCAUCAUGCAUUUCCUGCAUAAUAUACACCCCUACUAUCCCUCUAGUCACAAUUUUGGUUUUAGCCAUGGAUAUGAUCAAUUUCAUGCUAAAACUGCUGCGGCCUGAGUCAACUACCCACCAGGAUGAUGCCAAGAACUAUUGCUGGCAAAUGGUGAACUUUGAUUCUUCCUUACUAUAACUAAUACUCAUAUGUCUUUGAUUGUAAAUUAAUCAACCAGAACAGUAGUGCCAAUUCUAAGUAUAUAGCUCCAUUCAAACAAAUAGUGAACAUGUGUUCUCUGCCACUACAACAAAAAGUAGGGGACAAGCAGCUUUACAAUAAUGUAGUAAAUCCAAUACAAUCUGCACUCAUUCAAUUAACUCUUCUUUACACAAGAAAUUUGAACAUCUUCAUCUGCACAUUAUAUCAAAACAUUUUUCUUCACAUCUUUCCUUUACAAAGAAUCUUCCUAGAAGUCAAAAGCAAAAGAAUUUUAGAGCAUCGACUCAUUCAAUAUUGUUCUCAAGGAUUUUUAAGAAGCAUACUUGAUGAUGAAUGUUCUCGAGUCUCAUCUGGGAGAGAUAUUGAAGAAUCAAUCCAUGGUCCAUCCAUAGAUGUGCUUCUUGGGGCCUGACUGUCAUGAGAAAAUAUUGAGACAUUCGUUUGGCUGUCAUGUGAUAGCAUCUCAAAGGCUUUAAACCGAGCAUCCUGGUCUGCAUCCUUGCGCUUGAUUAUUGGAGCUUGAACAGCAAUCUUGCCUUCCAUCAUACUCACAACAGAAGACAUGGAUGGCCUUAGAGUGGGAGAUGGAUUGGUGCACAAAAGAGCCAAGUUAAGCAUCCUUAAUGCCUCUUCUUUUGAGUAGUGUGAACCAAGACUUGGAUCAACUAGCUCUAAAAGGUUUCCUUGCUCUUGCAGGACAUAGGCCUGCAAUCAUAUAUCCCCACAUGAUCAGAAAAACAAAGAAACAGCAUAAAGUCGAAACCAAAGAUUACACAGUAGAAAAGCAAGAGCUGAUAAAUAUAGCUCACCCAAUCAAGGAGGUAAACAAACUCCUCCUUAGGCCUGUAAUUUGUGUUGCUCUUCCCACUGACAAUCUCCAAAAGAACAACACCAAAGCUAUAAACAUCUGCUUUGUCAGUCAAGUAACCCCUCAUUGCAUAUUCAGGGGCCAUGUAACCUCUGGAUAAGAAAAAAAUACAAAAAAUGUCAAGUAUAGCACUAGCGAAAUGAAGUUAAGAUAGCAGUGUCUGCAUGAUAUUUGACGUAUUACAUGUGGUUUACAUAAUGCUAGUCACCAUAUUGCUUAGGCAUCUGCUAAUUCCCUAUUAUCUUUUUACUAAAAUCUGCUAUAAAGUAACUGGACUAAAAAUCAACAGCAUUGUCUUUUUGGGUCAAACAGCAAUGUCUUGAUAAGAACAGACAUCUUUUUCACCAUAUUUAUCCAAAUUUAAGGAAAACUUUAAGCCCUUAUUUCGAUAUUUUAAUUUAAUCUAUCAUUAUAGAAAAAUACUAAAUUAAAGCAAAAAGAUGCAGGAUGGGAGACAGAGGGAGACUCACAUUGUUCCAGCUAUCCUGGUGCUGAUAUGAGUGUUCUCUUCUUCAUCAAGCUUGGCCAAUCCAAAGUCAGAGAUCUUAGCAUUAAGAUCCUUAUCAAGCAGCACAUUUGUUGCCUUAAUAUCUCUGUGAACAAUUUUCAGUCUUGACUCCUCAUGAAGAUAAGCUAAACCUCUUGCUAUUCCCAAGCAUAUUUUCCUUCUGGUUGACCAGUCCAAGUUAAGACGCUGUUCAUCACGACCUGAAAAGAAAUGACAAGAGAAAAAAGAAGAGACUUUUUAAGUCAUAAUUAUCUUUCUUGAAAUAUUAGUAUAAGAUGUUAGUGAAGCAUUUACCAAAAAGUGCACGAGCAAGACAGUUGUUUUCCAAGUACUCAUAUAUUAGCAACAACUGAUUUCCCUCAAUACAACAGCCAUAAAGCUUCACAAGGUUUGGGUGUUGCAAUGCAGAAAUCAUCCCUAUCUCAUUCACAAAUUCACGAUUUCCUUGCUUAGAUUUAGAGGAUAGCUGCUUAACUGCAAUUACUGUACCAUCUGACAGUACACCCUACAAUCAAGCAGAGUGAAAAUUCAGAAAGUAGUUCAACAAAUAAUCCUUUCUCCCUCUUAGCACAAAGAUUGGAUAUAUCACAAACUAGACACUUUAUCUUAUUCGGAAUACUAUAACCAAGGGUUCUAAUCUUAGACUAAAAUGAAAACAAUUAUUACCUUGUAAACUGGCCCAAAUCCUCCUUCACCAAUCUUAUUUGCAGCAUCAAAAUUAUUGGUAGCAGCUUUCAUUUGUCUUAAACUGAAGUAUCCAGUUUGAAGAUCUAGCCCAUGAAGUUCUGUAAUAUGAGCAGAUUAAAAGAUUUAGCCAGUCAUAAAGAACAUCAGAAACAAUACCAGUUUCUACUCUUCUUUUUUGGGGCUACGAAAGUAAAAGUCAAAAAGGCUUAAGUAAUUAUUAUGAACAUAUUUCUUGCAUAAAUGGUCUUACCAUUGUUUUCAGCAUUUUUGCCACCCAAGUAACCUUUCAGUCGGAGGAUGAUCAAUAGCAAGAUGACAAUUACACAUGAACCAAUCACAAUACCAGCAAUGGCUCCAGCUGAUAACCCAUUCCCCGUGUCAACCUUAAAGUCUAAAAGACAAGAUAGGAGUUAAUGAAAGACCAGUUAAGAAAUUAGCAAUGAGCAAGUUCUUCAAUUUGACAUGGACUUACUGGGAGUUACUGUAAUGGCAGAUAUAAGUGGUCCAUAGACCCCUCUGUCAGGAAUGGCAGUGGUUCCUUUCCCCCUCCAGUAUAAGUGAAUCUCCAGAGUACUUCCAUUUACAUCAACAUUGAAUUCCCUGCUGAUGCCCCUCCGCACACCACCAGCUUCCUGCAUAAUAUUGAAAUUCUCCAAAACCACAUUCCCCUGCAGAAAAUUAAAACUAGAGUUUCAGAAGCUAAACUUAUAUGUUGAACACAUUUUGAACAGAAAGGAAACACUCAGAAACUUUCAAAUUACAUUUACAGUUUUAUCUAUAAACUUACAACACAAAACUAAAGGUCCAUGAAUAUAGCUACCGUAUACUUACUUGAAUUGAUACGUCAAAUAUGCGCCUUCCAAGACUCUCAAAUGUCUCAUUAGCAGAAUACAUUAUCUCAGCAAAGUGAAGUUGCACUUUAUAAUUGCCUUGUCUCAAACACAAGCCAUAGUACUUCAGUGAUUGAGGUGAAAGCCGUGCAGUUUUAUAGUAGUCUGGACCAGUCACAGCAGAUGAAGUUCUUGCAAUGUAAGGGGCGUCUUCUUUGCCCAAAAAAACCCCUGUACUACUAUAGGCCCACUUAUUUGCUGAAGAAAAAUAGUUUGAUGGACCAAAUCUGCUUAGGUCCUCUUCAUAGUCAUCUCCAUCAACACUCAUCGUCUCUCCUCCACAAUUAAUAAACAAGGAAUGGUCUGCAGACAAAUAAGCAAUGUAUAUUAGAGAAAUUUCUCAUGAGAAGGACAAGAAGAUUGAACAAAUAACAAGCACAUAUAAUUCCCAAAAGCAUAAUAAGAUAUGUAAUUAUACUUACGGUUGGGAUUUCUGGGACAAGGAAGGUCCUUCCUUAAGCACCAAGAGAUUCUGCCAAUUAAGAAUGUAACUUCAGUUACCAAUUAUUUUCUAAAAUCAAUUAUAACGAUGAAAAGAACGAUAGAAACAAAACUUACGAGUUGCUAUCUGAGGAUGAGAAACUGGACACUAAGUUCCUGUUAAGUAAUAAAAUGAUAAUUUUAGAGAAUAUACUAGAUGGGAUACAUUAGUAAUAGAAACGAAAGGACAUUGAAGAUUCAUGAAACAUCAAGAGGCUUACACAUUUGCCUGUUGGCAACUCAUUUGAGAUGAGUCUGUUGUGAAAUUGUUGUAAGACAAAUCUCUGCAAUGAAUAUUUUCAAACAAUUAGUUUGAACUAGCAGUCACUACAAGCAAUCAAUAUUCUUAACAUAAAAAGAAAUAUUUAGAGCCGGGAGAUGGACUGACAUGUUGUUGUCGCUUUGUAAUAUCCAAUUUGGCACUGCUCCACUCAAUGAGUUGUUAGUCAGAAACCUAAAUCAUAAAGUUUCACAUCUCAGUUUUAAUUUAUGCAAGAAGCAAAAAGUAAAGAUGAAAAGAAAUUGCUUACUAGAAAGGUAAGCAUUUCCAUUUAAUAAUGCUUAGAUUUUUAUCGACUUACAAGAAGUUUAACCUCGUCAAACUCUGCAAUGUUGAUGGAACUUGACCAGUUAGGUGGUUGAAGCUCAGGUCCCUAUAGCAGAAGUCAUGUAAGCAUAAAUUAGAAGAAAAUUUUCCUCAUUUGAAUCUAUCUACCAGGGUACAGUUUCUAACAAAAUUGGAUUACCACAUAUAUUAGUGAGCAAAUGUAAAACAUUUGACAAUAUCCUAAGGGUAAUUAUUUCAUAUCUUAGGUGUAAAUCAACUAUCAGGAUGAAGAGACAGCUUAUUGGACUUUCAUAGUAACUAAGAAAAUUUUGGCAUGGACAAACAAGUCAAACCUUGAGCAAAGAAAUCAGCCUGUCCUUGAAAAUAUGAGCAUAUACAUAUCAAGCUAUCAACUAGCAGUGAGAAAUAAAAUACUAGUAAUUGAGACUUUGGUAACGUAAAAUGCAAAUUCCAAGUCUCAAUUCAUAUUUCAUCAAACCAUCCAAAAGGUUGUCACUGCAGAUAAUUGUCAUGAGUUUUUCAUAGGUUUUGUUUCUAGAGGCAAAUUCAAAAUAAUGAAACAGAAUUGGGAUAAAUGGUGUGAAACACUUCUGCUGUUAUAUUCAAUUUGAUUUUCACUAUUAUCUUCAUUGAAAAAUCAAAUCAAGAAUCUUCAAAAGGACUCAAAUAAUCAUGCAAACUUACAAUGUUUUCAAUGAUAUCAUUUCCCCUAUAUAGGCAGGGAUUGAACCAGAAAGCAAGCAAUUUCGCAGUACCCUGAGUCACAAAAUUAAAACAAAUCCUCUGAUGAGACAAACAUUAAAAACAAUGAAUUACAAGGAAAAACUUCUUACAGUAACCAAUGGUCAUCAACUCACAAUUCGUCCAUAUUUGUCAUUCCCUCCAAAUUAGGGAAUGCUGAACUUGAACCUUUCAAAUCAGAUAUCCUCCUGAAAAUGAUGAGAUAUUAGAAUAUUAACAGAUGCUUGAUAACUUCAUCUUCUUGCAUCUCCCAAUUAUUGUCAUGGAUAUUGUUGCCACACAGAAUAGAGCACUAACGAUUUGAGGAAAGAACACUCACAAAUCGGUUAAGUUUUUUAACUCAGAUAUAGUAGAAGGAAUUGGUCCUUCCAUUGAUGUGCCUUGCAUAUCCCUGCAAGAGAUUAAAAUCUUUAUAAAUAACAACAAAAAGGUAAAAGGAGGGAAAAAAACAGAAUACAAUUUUAAAUAGUUUCUCUAUUAAAAUGAUAAAGUAGGUAACAACAUAGGAUUUGAUACUCACAAUCUUGUAAGUUUGGUCCAAUUCCCAAUAAAAUCAGGUAUCUUCCCUGACAAACUACUUCCAUCUAUCCGGCUGCAAGACGCAUUUCAGAAGGUCAGGAUUUCGCAAAACAGUAUGAUGAAUUUUCAGAUAUCCACAUCAGAUAACACUUACAAAUCAGUUAAGUUCUUCAAAUUGCCAAAUGAUUCAGGAAUUGUGCCUGUAAAAUUGUUUGCUGAAAGAAGACUGAAGGAGUAGAAAAAGUCAGUUAUAACUCAAAUAGGACAGAACAUACAUCGGGAAUUCACUCAACAAAUGCCAUUGAACUCGAACAAGAGAAAAAUUCAAAAUAAAAUAAAAUUUUGCAUGUUGUCUGGAACAAUGGGUGGUACAUUCAGGCAGUUUUCAGCAGUAACUAAGCUCAUAUUCAUAAAAACCAUAAUUUGUGAAAAACCAACUAAAAUCCAUCUUAAAGACAGUUGCUAGACCUGUAUCGUUUUUUGUUUUACUUUGAUACAUCAAUCUUUGCAUAAGGUAUCCAGGAAACAGAAAAUCCCACAGUAACCAAUUUUCGAAAUCCAGGAAACAUAAAUUAAACUAGACCAUCAAAACUUUGGCUAAAUGAAUUGUAUAACAGUGUAAAUUGAGAACCAGAUCCACCUAUAUAAUUAGCAUCAAUUCCAUAUGGUUCUUUACUUGGUGCCAUUUCAUCUCAUUGUUAAUAGUAAUCAUAUAACAUUUUUAAGGCUGAGAAAAGAACUUACAGUCUAUUCAAGCGGCCCAAAUUUCCUAGGUUGGAUGGAAGAGACCCCCCAAGCAGAUUAUCUUCCAAAACCCUGAAAACAAAAUUUAAUUUGGAAUUGAUAUAUUAUACAACAACUUCUUUGUUCAAGUACAUGCAGAUUUAUGCAUCAUGACUUACAGUCCUUCAAGUGUAGAAAUAUCACCAAUUUCCUGAGGAAUUGAACCACUAAGACGGUUCCCCAAAAGUGACCUGAAGCAGUUAGAAAAGGUGACCAGUUAUAUACCUUCAUUGAUGGCUAAAUAAUCCUAUGGCAACUAGCAAAGCACCUGACAGAUAAAAUGAAAAUAGUAACUUACAAGUUGGCAAGAGGUAGACGAGACAAACUCGAUGGAAUCGAUCCAUUAAGAUAGUUGCGAGUGAGAUCACUGUUCAACAAUGGAAGCUUUGCUAAGUACUUUUCCAAUCUCAGAUAAGCAUUAGAGAAACAGUUGAUAUUCAACAGAUCAUUACCUUCUACCAAAUGAUUGGACAGACUUUUGCAUUGUUAAGCAUAGAAAAUUUUAAAAGGAGAAAAAGGGGAGAAAGCUAAUAAGUGGAUAGUUUCUCUGAAGUAUUUUUCUUUGUCAAUAUAAUGUGAUUCCUGCACCUGUUAACUAAAUCUAGAACAGAGAGCAUAUGAACUUGAUAUUUAUCCCAGCAAUUUGAAGUUUAAACAAAUUGUGAGCCUGGUCUCUCAGACAAAUCAUAAUCACUAAAAGGAUUGUUUAUUGUUUACUACAAGAAAUAAUUUUAACAAUGCCCUAUAUCUAGAACAUAAUAAAGCAGUUUCAAAUCCUAUCAAUCCAUCCAGGCUCAUUUAGAGACAACCUAUUAACAAAUGAUCUCCAUAUUCUAGUAUAUUUGUAAAGUGAAUUGAAUGAAUUAAUGAACCAAUGAGGUAAACUGAAUUCCUAAUGUUGAAAAAUAAAUACAUAUAACUUACAUUACUUCCAGAUGAGUAAGGUUUCCAAAUUCUGGUGGUAUAACUCCAGUCAUAUUGUGACCCUUUAUCAAACUGUUACAGCAAAGCAAAAAAAAUAAAAAAUCAAUUAAGAAGGAAACAUAUAUAUAUAUAUAGAAAAGGAUGUAAAAUACUAAUAAUUUUGAUACAGGACUAAGAAUCUAGUAACCCCAAUAGGAUCAAGCCUGGGAAUUGAUGACAUCUUCAUAGAGUGAAUUACAUAAUCAUUAAAAGCUUUUUUCAUUAGAAACUUUGACAAGAAUUACAUAAAUGAUUGUUUAGUGGGUAUUAAUUAACAUAACUAGUAUCAAUUUCAGCAUUCAGUUUUGGCCUGCUGCUAAUUUGCCCCAGGAAUAUAUGCCUUCUCUGCCAAAGUUUUAAACUAGUUGCAGAUAAUGAACCAAAACAAUUAGUCCUAAACAUAUUCACUACAACAUCUCCUUAUAAUAUUCUCAGAAAAGAGCCUAAUGUUCCCUCUUGAUCAAUGUUCCAUUGCAGUAAAGAAAAUAUCAGUAGAAUCUGCAUGACUGAACAAACCUAAUACAUUGUAUGUAUGUAAGCAAAUCCUUGCUAAAAAGGAAGAAGAAAAAGAGAACGUACAUUUGAGUGACGUGGCAGACAGUGUUGUUGCCAUCAGAACAGUUACACGCAAUAAGGCUUUCAGUAAGUUCAGUAAUGGUAUAGUUCCAUCCAGGCUCAGUGCAAAAGGUUCGGCUGAUGCCAGUAGCAUUUGGAUGCUGCAGCUUCGAAAAUACAGUUUGAAGAGUUUGCACUGUUGCAGACAAGUCCGAGAAAUUACUCAGUAAAUACACAUACAUAAUAAUAAAAAUAGUCCUUUAAUCAGUUUAUCAUUUGUUCUUAAUUGAAUCAAAUGUUCAGCAAAGGAAAAACAUGUUCCAAGAUUUUCCAUUGGACGCGUGAAAUAAAUGCAACUGUAAGAAGUUUGGAGUCAUUAUGAUGAGCCUAAAGAUUGAUGGCACAUCAGAUUUGACCAGGACAAACAUGAGAAAAGUCAAGGCCAUAUAAAAUAUUCAGAUUUGACCAUUCAGUAACAGUAGACACCAUGGUCAAACUCAGGAUGCUGUUUUUCUGCUCGUAAUGUCAAACAUGUUCAGAUUUAAAGAAAAUAAAUGGAUUAUCAAAACCUGACCCCAGCUUAACUGUUUGACUAAAAAAAUUCACGAAAGGAAUGUAAACAUGGCCAGCUAAUUGGCCAUUCAUGCUUAUAAAAAUGUAGGAUGAAGACAGAUAUAGUACUCAAAUUAGCGGCAAAGAGAAGCAGCCCCAUCAAGCAAUAAUUGCUACCAGACAAAGGACAUUGCAAAAUCUAAUAACUAAUGGAAUCAUAUUAAAAAUUUACUUAUACUAAUAGCCAUCACUGCCAAGGGAAUAAAGUCUAUAUCUGAUCUAAUCACCGAUGGAAACCAUCCUAUGACUGUGAUUUUCCUUAUUUAAGUGUUUAAAAAUUCACAUGAACAAAGAGCAGAUGAAAAACACUGGAUGUUGUUGGCAUAGAAAAAAUGGCAAGUGGUUUGGUGAUGGGCCUUGAAUUAAUGAAGUUCUGAAUGUUUCUUAAAAUAUCUCUUAUUGACCAAGUCAACAUGUACAAAUAAUGCAAGGCAGGUAAGGAAAUGCCCCAAAUCUAGGCAAACUAGUGGGGCCAUCAGCUAUACCAAAUAAUGAAUGAAAUGGACUGGAUCAAAGUUGAGUUUGAAAUGAGAAUCACUAUCUUUCUGUGGUAACAUCCCUUUGAUAGGAACUAUUCCUUUUUUCUAUUGAGAAUUGCCAAAUGUUUGAGAUAAUGAAAGCUACAUAUUUAGAAGCAUAGAAAAACAAAUAUGGAAGACCAUAAACAUACAGCAGGGAAUCAGAUUGUAGGUCAUCUUAUUUUGAAAGCAACUGACAGAUAGUCCAAGAAAACAAGCAUCCAACAAAAUUAAAAAUUAUCAAUUAUCCUAAUCAUCUGUCGUCUUGCUGAGAACAUGUUAGGGGUUCAAACAAAUCUCUAGGUUUUUGUUUCACUAACAAAAGACAGAAACAAUAACAUAAAGAAGUUACAGGAUAAGGAUAUAACAUUGUCUUUAAACAUUCAUCCAUUUUCCCAGAAACCAAACAGAACAGAGGAAAUACCUUAAACAAAAAAUGCAUCAAUCCAAGAAAACCCAUGUGAGAAAAGUGGAGAUGAGUGAUGAUUAAUGCAGAGGAAUUAAAGUAAAACAAAGUCAAAUCAAAUUUUUCUGCGGAUAGAACAGAGUAGCAAAAGAAAAUAGAAACAAGAAAUCCCAACUUUAAUGAACUCUUUAAAAAUAUUCCAAGAGUUCUUUUUCUUCACGUAAGCCAUGUUUUCUGAUCAAUCACAUCAAAACUUCAACAUAAAUUAUUAAGAGAGAAAAAGAGUCCAAAAUUUCAAUCCUAUUCGUAAUUUUUUACUAGAAAUUCCCAGCGACCAAACAGAGCUAUCUGCCAAUACAUCAUACAAGAACAAAGAAACUAAACCAGCAUUGUCCAAAAUGACAAAAACAUCUUUGUCGUCAUAUAUUUUCUCAUCACCAGAAAAAACAUAAUGCAUUCCAUGUAACAUAACGCUUUUAAUCACAUUUUAACUUCUUAAUGCUUCAAAUUCUGUAAAACCUUCUAAUUUGUUGCCAAAAUUGCUAAGUCACAUAUAGCCAAAAGAAUCAUUCUUACUAAAAACAUUACAAGAAAGUUUGCAUCCCAGAAACUAGAACAUAAAGUGAAGAAUAAAAAAUUAAAAAUCAGUUUUUUCUUUCUUUUUCUCUCCCAAUCCUCUGUAACCAAACAGAGUAAGUUCUAUUCAAAAAGGAACAACACCCACAUCCUUAAAAAUUUUCAUCUCUUUUACCCUUGAAUUCUCAGGAACCAAACAGAGCAACAUGAACUUAAACAGUCAAAACAAAAGAAAGAAACACCGAAAAAUAUACUACUAAAAAAGAACUUAACAAAGUAUGAAUAAAGGUGGUUGGUUAUUCGCAUACCUUCAGUUUCAGGCAAAAGUUGAGCAUUUGAUCCAAACUCAGUAAAGCAAUUCAAAGCCAAAAAGCCCAGAAGAAGUACACAAACCAUCUUAAAUACAGAGAAAACAAACCCCAUUUUCCUCUUCUUCCACCCCAAGACUUUCUCCCCUUUCUCUUUGUCUUAAAACCAAAAUAUAUACCAUACACUUAUAAACCCUUCAAAACAACCGCAACAAGACAAAAUAAACUAACGUUACAAACAAAGCGAAACACUAUGCUUCUAUGUUCUUCUUUGAACUAUGAUUCGUUUGAGAAACGAAGUGGAGUUGUUAUGGUUAUGCAAGACAAGAAAGAAAGGUUAUAAGGGAAGACGUCGUGUUUUAUUUUAUUGAAAGAAAAGCAAACGUGGUCAGAAAAGGAACACGAGUUAUUUAUUGUGCUAGGAAUUGAUAUUUUUAUUCUGGUUUUUUAUUUUUUUUUUAAUGUAAAAGAAAAGAAAAGACAGAUGUGAGUAAAUGAAUAAGACUGGGACUGGCGAGGGAGGGAGAAGCCGCCGAUUAAGGCUUUCUACAUCAGCGGGCGCUGCCUUGGAAACUGCUACAGUGCACACACGCUUUGCUUUUCUGCCGGCUGCCGGCAUUAUUUAUACUUAGAAUUAUAGUAUGUACAAUUUUUUUACAUAACUUUGUAUAUAUUUAUAUUUAUGUUUAUACCUUAUUUUCAGACAGGUGUGCCUUAAUACCUUGAAACCUUGGUAAAUGUAUUUCAAGUUUGCAAGUGCUAGUUGAAUGACAUAAAUGUGAAAGAAAUGAAAAAAAAAAUUAAGGAAGUGAAUGGGAAAAGGAAGACCUUUUGAGCAAUUUCCCUUCAAGAUAAAUAUUUGGUGCCAUGUUAUUUCUAACCUAUGCCUUUGAUGAAUAUACAUCAAGAUUAUACGUAAUGAAAUCAAUUGCUUGAUACAAGGUGGACUUUGCUUGAAGGAAAGGUUAGAGAAAUAAAAGCAAAAUGUAGAGGAAGAUAAAAUGGAGAUAGAAAAGUAUAAGACAAGGGCCAAAAACAAAAUUGUGGGCUUUUCUAGCAAACUAUCCAUGUGCGAAAGAGAAUAAAACUUUUGACCUCUUCCAUUUUUUAAAGGCACUUUGCUCCAAAUUGCAGAACCUUGAUUUUUACCACCUUUCAAUUCCAUAGUCAAAAUGAGAGAUUGAUCAAACCAAUUUGAAAAAAAAAAAAAACAAGGUCAAUAAUGGGAACUCGUAAUUAAAGGUCUAAAAGGCCUCUUUGGCCUUAAUGAUUCUACUAAUCAAACUUGACUUUUGGAAAACUUGAUGCAAAGAACAUCCAUAAAGUAGCAAAAUAUUAUUUGAAAUUUCAAUCCAUUACGUAAUCAAACACUAAUUUGGAAAGUUCAAAUUCAGGUGGCUGACCCGCGUACGGAACCGUACCAAAUUUAAAAAUAAGAUUAUGCAUUUUUUUCUUAUUUUUAUCUUUUUAGCAUUAUGUAGUACCAUUUAAUAAAAAAAAAUUACAGAACCGUCUGACCUCAAACUAAUAAUUAUCAGUAAAAAUAUUUUUUUUUUGUAAAAGGAAGUGUAUACUUUUUUAUUUUGUUAACUUUAAGUAAAUUACAUCUAUAAUUACUUAAAUUUAUUAAAAUUUAUACUUAAAUCAUUGUAAUUUUUAAAAUUAUACUUUAAUCAUCAAUGUUUAUAAAAUUAUACAUUAAUAAUAAUAAUAAUAAUAAUAAUAAUUAUCAAUAGUUAAACACUUGAGCAUUUAACUCAUUGAUUUGUGCAUAAUUUUUUUAAUUAAAGAGUAGAGUUCGAAUCUUCUUUUUUCAAUUUUUAAAAUAAAAAAUUUUACUCUUUAGAUGGAGAAUCCCCAUCUCUAAUUUCAAAAAAAAAAUUGACUCUUUAGAUAAUGAAUCCCCAUCUCCAAUUUAAAAAAAAAAAAUGACUCUUUAGAUGGCUAGUUAGCCUUUUAUUUUAUGACAAUGAAAAUGAUAUUGGAAGUAUUCAUGAAUUGAAUUGAGCUUGUCCAAUCUCUCUUUUUAAAAAUCAAAUCCAAGUUUGAUUUAGCUGGUUUAUUUUUACGUUUUUACUAUUAAGUCUUGACACCUUGUCACGUCACUAUCUAUAUAAGCUUUUAAAUAAUGAAGACUAAGUUAGCUUUUUUAUUUUAUGACAAUGAACAUGAUAUUAUAGGCAUUCAUGAAUUGAACUGAGCUUGUCCACUUUCUCUUUUUAAAAAUUAAAUCCAAGCUUGAUUUAGUUGCUUUAUUUUUUACAUUUUUACUAUUAAAUCUUCACACCUUGUCACGUCACUAUCAAUAUAAGCUUUUAGAUAAUGAAGACUUUGCUAAAUAGUAAAAUUUCUUGCUGUAGUGAUCCUUAAGGUAUUUCAAUACCUUAAUAGCUGCUUGCAAAUGAGAACUUCCAUGUUUGUCUAUGAAUUGUGAUAAAACUUGGACAAGGUCGAUGAAAGUUAAAUAUAACAACUUUCCAAUUAAUUGUUUGUAAUUAGUAGCAUCUAACAGUUGAUCGUCACCAUUAGUUUUGUGAUUGUAAUCAAUAAGAGUGGAUACUAAUAUUACUCCCAAAAAAUCCUUACCCAUCUAACAAGUCUAAUGUGUACUUCCUUUAAGCACUUAUAGAUCCUUGACUCAUCUAAUGCCAACCUCCUGAUCCACAUGACAUUAAUGGGAGUUUGGUGUCUGGGAUCUCACAUCGCUUGGUUGUGGAAAAGUGCAGAUAUUUAUAAAGCAGUUCAUUGGUUGCACGUUAAGACAUGUUUAAAAGCUUAAGGUAGCUUGAAUCAAAUUAGGCCAAUUCGCACAUCCAUAAAAAAUUUAGGUUUUGGACACCUCUAUACUAAACAAAACAAAUUAAUUGAACGUAAUAAAAAGAUAAAAAUUUAGUUAAAAUUUUUUUAAAUUUUAUAUUUUGAAUAAAUGCCAAACUUAUUUCCGAGUAUGAUGACUAAGAAAAGCUAACAACAUAUUUAAUUUAACAUCAAGAAAUUUUCUAUUCACAAAGAAAUCAAGAAAUAUAUGCCCAGGACAAUUAGGUACGAUGAAACUGAGUUCAAUCAAAUGUCAAACUAUAUUUAAUAAAUAUUGUGCAAUACAAUAGUAUCAAUGCAUUAUUUGCCUAAGUAGAGUAUUUGAUUCAAGAAUUGCAAAAUAUGUGUGAAAUUUUGAAUUAUUUUAUUUCAUAAGUUGUAUACAAAUUUUAGUACAACUCAAAUCUCAUCACAACUUGGUUUAUUCUAUAUGUUUUCCUAGGAAUUAGAAUACCAAAGACCAAUUAUCUACGCUUAAUUUGACUCAAUUACUCUAUCAUGAUUAAGUAAUCCUUUAAGUGUGGUGCGUUAAGAGGGUUAAGGAAGGUAUCGGGCUCUCUUUUACUGUAGCGUGAUCCAGCCCAUUCUUUCAAUAAACCAAAAAAAAUCAUAUAAUAUGGUAGUUUGAUACUUAUUUUGGGUAUAGAAUCCUUUCCGCAGUUUAACCUUGUAGAUGAUGUGCUGAUGAUAAGGUAAUCCUAUCACAACCUGAUUUUAAUUUUUUUGUCAAUAUUAAAAGAUUGUUAACAUAUUUUUAAGUUAUUUCAGGAUUUCGAAUUAAUUUUUAAAAAAGUCAGCUAUAUGGAGUGGGUAUUAAGCACAAUAUGAUGAACAAGUGGGUUGCCCUCAUUAAUUGCAAAGCUGGUACGCUUCCAGCCAACUAUUUGGGGCUGUCGUUGGGUGCCAAACAAGGCUUUGUUAAUAUGUGGCAACUAGUUAUUUAGAGGGUCGAAAGCAAAUUAGCCUCAUGGAAAGCUAACACCUUUUUAAUGGGUGGUUGUGUCACACUCCUCAAAUCGAUCCUCAACAGUCUCUAGUGUUCUACAUGUCCCUUUUUUAGAUGUUGGUCAUUAUACAAAAUACCAUUAACAAAAUUCAGAGGUGUUUUUUUGUGGGAAGGCCGAACCUAGUGCACAAGCUCUAUCAUGUGAACUAGACAUUUGUGUGCAGCCCACGGGAACUUGGUGGAUUAAGGCUGGUCGAUAUUGGCCUCAAGAAUAAGGCAUUGUUAAACAAAUAGUUGUGGCGCUUUGAAAACGAACCAGAAAGCCAAUGGAGAAAAAUUAUGGUGUAAAAACUAGGCGAACAACAUAAUGGAUUUUUGCCUAUCCCUGCAUAUGGUUCUAAAGUUUUUGCUGUCUGGAAAAAUAUAACUAAAUCUCUUACCAAUACAUAUGACUAUAGUAAUUAUGUUGGUGCAGAUAGGGUUUAAAUGGAAUUCAAGGAACCGACAAAAUUAACUUCAAGGUGAGCCUUUUAAUAGACACAAUCUUUAAGACUUAUUUCACCUCACCACUCUGUAUGUAAAAAGAGAAUAAUAUAAAUAGCCUUAAGGAUAUAAUGAAGCCAAUGUCUAAUUUCGUCUUACCCUUUACGAGAGUAGACCGCUAGAUACAGUCGAGGGUUUACAAAAUUGUUUAGCCUUAAGGCCUACUUUCUGCAGCAAUUUGAUUAUAAGGGAUUUGAAAGCUUUUGUAAUUGAUGGGAACUUAGGUGUUUAUGUUAAUAGAACACAACACUUUUCUUACUCUUGAUAUUUUUACUCUUGUUUUGUGUUUGACUUGAUGUCUCAAAAUGGUUAGCAAUAAGUCUUUUAUAUAGGUUUGCAAGUGUCUCUUCUUCAAGGACACAACCCUUUCAUUAAGGCACUAUUUUGUCUAAAAGAUAUCUUUAAAUUUUGCCAAAUACAACUUUUGGAUAAAAGUAUUGUUUCAAUAAUCAUCUUAUGAAAAAAUAACUAUUUAUUUCAUAAAAUAUAAUCUUUGAGUUAUAAAUUAAAACGAUAACUUUCUAUAUUUAACUUUUGAGCUAUGCUGUCUUUUCAAUUUGUCUCAUAACUUUUGAAUGUCAUUUUACCAAGAGACAUAACUAUUCACAUGAAAACAUGCCUAUAAUCCAAUAGACAUACUAUGUCACUUUAUGUGAUAUAAUUUUUGAUCUAAGAUAACUUUUCAUUAUAUGACAUAACCUUUGAUUUUGAAAAUAUACCAAUAAAUUAUAUGUUAGAUUGGUUGAGGUUAAGUAUUGGAAAUGGGGAACAAGCAAGGUUUUGGGACGACAAAUAGAUUGAAGGUUGUGUCCUCAGAUUUGCUUUUCCUAAAAUUUUUGCUUUCGUCACCACAAAAAACAAAAAAGGCUGAGUUGCUGAUUUUGGUGAGUAGAUUGGCGAUGAAUAGCAUUGGCAUGUUCAACUAAGGCGAUAGGUUUUUUGUUGGGAAAUGUAACAGUAUGAGCAUUUCAAGACAUUGUUAGAGAGCCAAAUUCUUGCAAUGAACUUUCAAGACGGACUUAUCUAGAAAGGUUGCUCCAAUGGAAAUUACAACUCCAGCUUUUUCUAUAGUCUUGUACUUCAUGACAAUUCGGCAAUUGAAGAGCAUUAGGAAAAAGCCUAGUUAAGCCUCGCUCCGUUUAAAACGAAAAUCUUCUGCUGGCAACUCUUUAAAAAGGGCAUUGUUGUUAAGGAUAACCUCAUGAAUAAAGGAAUUAUAAAUGAUGCAGUUAUUACAUGCCUCAUAUGCAAAAAAGAAAAAGAAAUGAUCAGUCCUCUCUUUUUUCAAUGUGAGCAUAAAUGGCCACUGUGCACCUACCCCGAAGGUAUUAAAGAAACACCAAAACCCACAAUAGGUUAAACCACCAACAGACAAGCUGAAAAUCAAUACUAAUGGUGCUAGUAAGGGUAAUCCCGAGGAAGCUGGAGUGGGUGCGAUCGUAAAUGAUCAUGGUGACAGUCAAGGGCGGACUCAAAAUUUUUUUGAGUGGUGUCAUUAAGAUGAUAUUCAAAAUUUUUGUUUCUUCGAUCCAGAAUCUACUAAAAGAGUACUUAGAUCAAAUUCAAUACGACUACUUAAAAGAAUAUUGUUGAGUAUCAUCAUUAGCAAAAUUUUGUUGUUGUUGCCUAUGAUCUGAUCUAAUCCUUAUGAGAAUUUUUUUUUCUUUUAAAAUAUCUUUCGAUGACCGAUUUAUCUAAAAUUAUAAAACUUGUUAAAAAUUACUACUCAUUAGUAUAUAUUAAAAUUAAAUAAAAUAUUAUCUCACAUAGGAAAUUAUCAGGUUCACCAACAAACAAUAUGACAAUUUUCUAUUCAUUGAUCAAAAACUAAAUAUAAGCAUCCACAAACCACAUAAAGUUAAUACAAAAAAUCAAAUAAUAUAUCUAUAAAAUAAAUAAAGAAAGAAAGACUUAUAAUUUCAAUAUAUUAUUUAACAUGCAAUACUAUUUUCUAUAAGUUAGAUUAUAAU